CACCAUACACUUCCGCCACCCAAACCUAACCCAAUUGUUGUUUGAGCUUGUUUGAGUUGUGGCUUGUGUCUCCUAAGGUGUUUCGGCUACUUAGGGACGGCAACUUCAACUCCGACUCGUGUAUAGCCCAUCAUUCCACUUCCGCAUUGCCUAGUGCAACACCACCACCGCUUUCCGCUACCACCAUUUGACAUUUGACGUUUGAGAUUUUGAGUUUGCGGUUUUUCCGUUUCCUAAGGUGUUUCGGCUACUUAGGGACGAGUCUCCAUCAUCUUGGUAUCUACACCAAGAACACCGCCACUCAUCAUCGCAAAGGACGGUAACCUCGACGACACCUUUGUAUAUUCCCUUGCAAUUGCAUUGUUAACCCCUAGCCCAUUUUGCGUUACUUGCCUAUCGAGACUAGCCAUUUGAGUAUUGCCGGCAACGUUACUUGUGCACAUUAGUGAUCCACCAUCCAUUGCAUACAUACCAUAUCAUCUUGGUAUCAUAUCAUCCAUUGUGCCUCAAGUUUGUUCCCGCAUAUACACAAUUGCUAUCUUGGUUUGUGCAUUGUGCAAAAGUGGCCAUAGAAAAAAAAGAGAAAAAGCUUUUAAGCAAAAAGAGAGCAAAGAGCUCAUGAGCAAGUGCCAUAGCAUCAUACCCCAUUGCACAUAAGAGCCAUACCAAAAUCUACAUCAUAUGAUAUCAUGCUUGAGAGAAACACCGGGAACCAUACAUACAUAGCAUACUUGGGAUAGAAAGAAUAUCCAUUUUGCAUCUUAUAGGUUGUGCACAAGUGUCGUAUCCGCCUAUUGAGCAAUCGUGCUAGCGUCUCUCUUGAGUUGUGCAACACGAGCGUUUUCCAUGGAUUCCACAUUUUGUGCUCAUUCCUUGGUUGCACGACCCCAUUUAUCUAUCCGUGUGUGUGUUUCCGUGUGCCAUUCUUUGCUAUUGGUCCAUUUGUUUCGCUUGCGAAUUUGUGAAUCUCUUUCAACAUUAUUGACUCUUGCUAACAUUUUGCAUCAAAUUUUUGUGCCACUAUCCUCACCAAGCUCUACCAUAAGCUUUACUUGAUAGGUGUGAGUGAACAAGUCCGGUACCAAUUCCACUAUUCUUUCAUCUCACAUUGAGUGACACGGGAUACAUCCUCAACUUUGGGAAAAGGUAACUUGGUAUUGUUUAUCUCAUUUCCUACUCACCUCUACUCGAGUCUUGUGAUGGAUAGGCAAGGCAUUUCAUCUUCGGUCUACAACAACAACGACGAGUUCGAUGCCAUGAACAACAACUCCGACGCCAAGAUGCAAGCUAAAAUGGAGGAGAUCAAAGCCCUCAUCAAGUCCUACAAGCGAUCUUCCUCAUCUUUGAGAAGACUCUCAAGAGCACAUGCUUCCGAGCUACCAUCUCCGACAAGAUCACAUCGGCAUCGACACCAUCACAAACAAGAACGUGAAGGUCAAGAGCUCUACAUCAACAACCGCUCAAUGACUUCACCAUCUCCCUUGGCAUCUUCGCCAAGCGACUUCAAGGCAUUUUCGCCUACGGACAUACGGCAUCUUCGCCAACAAGAACCCCAAGACUACGCUCAAGAGAAGCUCCCCAAGCUCAAGUCCGCGACUUCCACGAGCUACUACGACCUCGACAUCGACCACGCGAUUCCUUUCUAUGGGACUCAAGAACCCGAGGAGUACCUCGAGUGGGAGCGUUCGAUGGACGACUACCUCAAGCUACAUCAAGUUCGUCCCGAAGAUCAAGUGAAGUGCGCCACAAGAAACUUCCACGACUACGCCUCGACAUGGUGGCUUCACACACCUUCGGAGAGCUACGAGAUGAGUUGGCCCAAGAUGAAGAGAGCUUUACGGCGAGAGUUUGUGCCUCCAACCUACACGGAACAACUUCGACACCAAUUGGAGAACACCACCCAAGGAUCCAAGUCCAUCGACAAGUACUUCAAGGAGAUGAUGAUUGCCUUGCGACGAGCCGGCGUGGACGACCCCAUUUCUAUGAAGUUCCACUUCAUGAUGGGAUUGCACAACGACAUCUCCAAGACCAUCUUCCUCGAGAACUACAAGUCCAUCGACGACUACUACAUUGGCGCUCUCAAGGCGGAACAAGAACUCAUGAAGGCCAAGGCUUCUCCACCCCAAGCAAACUUCGCGGCGACCAAGCUCUACGACAAGCAUGAGGCUAGUACCACCAAGAUGUCCAAGCCCGACGAGCUCCAAGACGAUGCUCCCAAGGACCAAGCUUUGGAGGCGAGCGACAAGGUGGCAAGCAAGGAUGAUGCUUCCAUCUUAGGAGGCGAGAGUGAUGAUGUGCCAUCUUCGGCCUUCAUCCACGACGAGAGUGAUGAUGUGCCAUCUUCGGCCUUCAUCCACGACGAGAGUGAUGAUGUGCCAUCUUCGGCCUUCAUCCAUGGCGACCACGACGAGAUGGUUGAGCAUGGGAUUUUCCCUUCGACCACAGCGACGUAUGAUGACUUGAGUGACUUGUGCCACCAUAUUGAGAGUGAGAGUGACUUCACCACUAGCCCCAUAUAUGUUGAGUUGCCACAAUUCACAUGUGAGGAGAGCCACAACCCCCACCACUUGAGUGAGAUGAGUGACUCCACCAUACGUGAGUUUGAGUGCACCUAUUUUGAGGGAGUGAGUGAACCACCACAUAGAGAGAGUGAGAUAGUUGAUAGGUCUCGUGAGGCCAUUUGCAUUUCUAACAACUUGACCUCUACCUCUAUUGUGUCUUCUCGUUUGGUGCUAGGUCCCAUUUAUGAUGACGCACCGAUCCUCGACGACUUCGUCCUCCCUUUGGACAAGACGAUGGCCAUGGUGGAUUAUGAUGCACCGCCCACAUGGUUCCAUCAAGAUGAUGAUGAUGACCACCAUUUGGUCUUUCCCACCUCACCUACACCACUUGAGUGGAAUGACAAAGGUAACAUAGGUGAAGGUGAUGCUCUAGUCCCACUAGUGGACAUUCUUGACAUUGAUUGCUUGCAUGAUGUUGAUCCACCUAUUGCCAUGCUUCAUGCUAGUAUGAUUUCCCCAUGCGAUGAUUUGCCCAUUUAUGAUGAGUAUGAUGAUUCUAUUGUGGAGUCUAUUAGUUGUGAUGCCAUGUUACAUAGGAUUUCUUGUGACAAUUCUUUAGGUCACAUCAUGUUUGAAAAUCCGCUUGACUUGUCAUAUGCUAUGCAUGAGAUCAACCAUAUGUCUUAUUUGCAAUCUCUUCAUAGUGACUAUGCAUAUGCCAUUAAAAUAAACCCAAUUUGCACAUAUGGCAUAGAUGACAAGCCCAUGGUUAUUGGCAUUUGUUUCUCUUGUGAUGAUAUUGAUAUGCUCCAUUUGCAUCAUUUAUCUCAUAUGCCAUGCCAUGACCACCUAGCUUCGAAUAUGCAUUGUUUUGGAUGUUGUCCAUUUUCUCCAUAUGAUGUUUCCGAUAUUGCUCAUGAGGAGACCCCCAUAGUUUCCUCAUACAUUUUAGGAGAUUUUGACCCAUCCCAUCCAUUGCAUCAUCCCAAUACUUGUGUGCACCAUAUGCUCCCCAUGAAUAAACAUGCUUUUGAUGUGCCAUAUACUUGUUUGCUCAAUUUGUGUCCCCAUUGUGUCAUACAUAACAACUAUUCUUUCAUGAUAGAUGACAUGUUCUUAUACCAUGCAUCAAAUUUCUUUGAGCGAUGCUUAUCUUGUGCUAACUCACACGUGCACAUACACAUCAUGAUGGAUGAUGUGUACAUUUACCACGCACACAAUUUCUUUGGAUUGUGUCUCUUUUGUGUAGGUACCCAUGAAUACUUGUCAACCUCGCAAUCCCACGAGUUGACAAAACGAUCUCUAGAGAGCAACGAUGAAUUGGGAUCACGUGGAUUGUCUUUACCACCGUCCCCUUCGUGCAAGGACUACACGCAACUCCUCUACUUGUCUCUCACACGGCUAUGGGCCAUUUACCACUUCUCACAUUAUGCUCAUUUUACCGUGUUCACUUUGCAUGCUAUGCUUGCUUCUAUGCCUUUGCCAUGCAAUUGUGACCCUUGCUUGCAUCUACCCAUGAUUCUACAUUAUGAUAUUCCUAUGUGUAUUUGCAUGCUUGGUGGAGAUCCUUGUUGCUUUUGCCAUGUUUAUCAUGUGCCCCAUUCUAUUGAUGCUAUUUGUGUUGGGAGAGUCAUGAUGACCCAUUGCUAUUCACAUAUGGCCUCUCGCCAAUACAUUCAUGAUAUUGUACUCAUAUCUUGCUUUCAUGCUUGUGCUAUGACUUGCGAAUUAUUCAUGCCCACUAUUUGCACCAAUGACAUAUUUGCCAUGAUUCCUCCUAGUAUGUUGCAUCUUCGCACUACUAGCUUGCUUGAUUUGAUAGCUAUGAAUGCUCGCUAUAUUGCAUCACCCAUGUUCCACUACUUUCUUUCUUGGGUUGAUGACAUAUAUGCUCAUGCCUCUCACAUGAUAUAUCUUGAUCAUUGUCCCUUUGCUUAUCACAUGCUUGACUUGAUUGCCUCACACAUGAUGAACAAUUGCUCUUUCCAUUGUGUUGAGUGCCACGAUAUCUUCACUACACACUAUGCACGUUAUGCUUGGAUUGUCUUGCACUUGCCCCAUGUGUUUAGACAUUUCACUAUAUUUGCUGUUGUGAAUGACUCUUAUGCCUACCAUAGGCCGUUCAUUGAGCUCUUUACGCAUGCUUGCUAUGACCUUGAGGUAGAUGCUUGUUCACUUAUCACAUAUAUUUGCAUCUUGACCUCCCAUUUACAUGCUUGUUCCCAUGAUGUACUUGAUUGUGCUCAAUUUAUAUGUCCAAAUGUCAUGACACACUCCUUUGUCAAACCAUAUGCUAUGCUUGAUGACAACACUUGUUGGGUGAAUCACCUCUUGAAUGCUUGGUUUUGCUCUUACGACAACAACAUUUGUUUUUCCAAGUGCUUGUUAUCUUUGCUACUUUUGAAGGAAUUACAAUACGGUGUGACACUGGAGAGUGCCUAUUUGGAACUUCAAGAUGACAAGAACUUGGUGAUCAAACACUUCUACACGACAACGCCAUCUCUUUCGCAUGGUGAUUUGGUUUUUGAUCCGAGGUCGGAUCUUUCCCAAGGGGGAGGGGAUGAUGCGGAGCAUCCUACGGACAUCACCACGUCAAGAGCCCAUUUGGCAAGUGACACGUGCGACAUCUACUUCACAUACACAAAGGUGAAUCAUCUCCUUUACACGUGCUCACUUGACACUCUCGAGGAUGGUAUACUACUUGACGUGUGCAUGCAUAGGUAUUGUCGGAGCUUCGCGGAUGUCAAGGAGGAGUGCAAGCGCCAAGGAACGACUACACCAUCCGCGAGGGAAGCGUGGAAGAGAAGACGGAAGAAAGGAGAAGAAGACGGAGCGGCUGCAGGAGCCAGGCCGGACAUCCGGGCCGCCGUCCGGAUCAUCCGGGCUCAGCCGGAUCAUCCGGGUCCCCCUCCGGAUCAUCCGGAUAAUUCGUCCGAAGACACCCGAAGGCCUCAUGUGAAGCCGGAUCAUCCGGGCCCCCUCCCGGAUCAUCCGGAUGAUGGCCGGAUCAUCUGGGCCCCCUCCCGGAUCAUCCGGACGAUGGCCGGAUCAUCCAGACCCCCUUCCGGAUCAUCCGGGCCUUGCCUGCGUGCAACGUUUCGGGCCGAGGCCCAUGUACCCAUUCGCCCCCUCACUUACCCCUUCGCCCACUAGACUAUAAAAAGACCUCCUCCUCCCCAUUUUUAGGGUUAGCAAAGUGAUAGCUCAUUCUUAGGUGAGCUUUGCUCCUACCUAUCUCUACUCUUGAGAGAGAGAGAGACCACUACUCCAUUGGAGGCCAAGACCUCCAUCUAGGAGAAGAUCCCGUGGGAUAUCAUCAAGACCCCCUUGUGGGAAGAUCCAUCUAGGAUAUCAUCAAGACCUCCUCUUGGAGAUGAACCUUACCUUGUAUCUUUCCCUUUGUUGUUCAUGUACCUUGUGACCUUGUGUGUUUGAUUGUCUAGUGGAUGUGUGAUUUGGGCUUGUUCUUGAGUGUUUCCCCUUAUGAUUUCUCCCCGUUCUUCCCCGUGUUCAUCGUGUUCUUCGAGGGAUCCCACUCCAAACGUGAAAGAUCGCCGCUAUAGGGUUCCACCCUACAUCACAACGUCACCACCUCUCUGCACGCGAACUUCUUAGCACGUAGUUGUCACCGCCGGUACACCUCAGCACCAUGCCGCCAAGUACCACCAGCCGACACAACUUGAAGUCUCUGGAAGAUCUGUCGUGCGUAGCACCUGCCGACUAGGCAUGAAAGCGUAGCACCUAUCGGCCAGGCAUGACUUGACAUCUCCACCGAAGCUCCCUGCAAGACGAAGCCGCUCCACCUCCUACCUCUGACUUCCAGCGCUGCUCCACAAACGAUACUCCCAAGAGAGAAACGACACCUCAGUGCCGCCAUCAUCCGAUCUGGAAAACCAGAUCAUAGGGUUUCCCCCGGAGCAGCACUAGUGGGUCGACAGUACUUACAGAAUGAUACCUUCAUCAAGGUAACAGCACAGAAUGCCGCCAUCGUCCGCCGUCAGCUCGGUUUUCACCGGCAACUAUGUCUCCGCAACUCACAGCCGGGACUAGAUUACAGAUCUCGAGAUCCGAUCAUCUAGCCUCAGGUCGACCACCUCCGACGUAGGAGAUGACCACCACCGCCAUAAUCCUCGUGAUGCGAUGCAGACCCGGAGUGCUUCAGCGAGCCAUCGCCGAAUCCGAUGAGAUGGAGCAGUUUGAGGACGUAACGGCAGCCGCCCGCCUAGACCCAAAGGUCCUAGAUCGAGCCCAGGACGCGCCACGGUUGCCGCUGCCGCCAUCUCGCACUACUCCCGCCAGCUGCAGCCAAGCCCCCCGCCGCGCUCUGGUCGCCGCUGCUCACCAUCCUCAUCGGGAGUGAGAUCCAAAUCAGGCCGCCGCCACCUUAGAUCUCGGGACGCUAGAGGAGGUCCGCCGCCACCGCGCCACAGGGCCUUCGCCCAGCGGCGUUGCCGGCAGCGGCGGAGGGAAGGGGAUGCACGGGGAGUCGAGGUGAGGUCGAGAGGUGGCCACCCGGUGCGGCCCGGCGGUGGCCACACGGGGCGGGAGUCCCUCGCCAAGCGCCACCAAAAACUGAUCGACGAUGUUUCAACACAAUGCACACAUACCCAUCAUCUCGACAUGUAGAAUGCAUACAACCAACAUAACAAACAUAAAUAAACAUGUCAUCAAAGAGCAAAAUCAUACAAGACCAAAGAUAUGCCUAAGUAAGAGCAACUCCAAUGGGGCGACCCAAACGGACGGUGAGUUCGUUCGCUUUUUGUCCGUUUGGGUCGGCCGCCCUCUCGGCGUCCGCCCUGUUUUAGAUAUGGGUCGCCAGCGCGCCCAACACGCCGACCCAUAUGUGCCGGCAUGGCCGGCUGGCCGCCCUAUUUUGCAUUGAUGAAUUUGCAUUUAAACAUAUAGUCAAAUAACAUAGUUUGAACCGAAUGAAAUAGCAUAGUUUUACAAGCCGAAUAAAAAUAAAAAUGUGUGACAUAGUUCUCACAUAGUUUUGCAAACGAAUAAAAAAAGAUACAUCUAUUGGUUGCCAACAUGAGACCACAUAUGCUCAACCAAAUCAUUUUGCAGUUGCACGUGAGUUUCCCAAUCACGCAUGUCAUGAUGAAAUUGGGUGAAACUGUUCAAACAUUGCCGCUCCUCCAUGCUCAGACACAACAUUCUCACCCUGAAAUUGAUACCCUUGAUUGUACAGACGUUCCAGGCGCUCGUCUUCUAUGAUCAUAUUGUGCAUGAUCAUACAAUCAGUCAUCACCCCCACAGUUUCUGUAUGCUCCAUGUAUUAGCAGGAUACCGAACGAUGCCCCAUCGAGGUUGCAAAACACCAAAGGCACGCUCGACAUCCUUCCUAGCACUCUCUUGCUCUUGGGCAAAUCUUUUCCUCUUCUCUCCGACAGGGUUGGGUAUGUCGUGACAAUAGUGGUCCACUGAGGAUAGAUACAGUUACCCAGGUAGUAUCCUUUGUCGUAGUUGUGGCCGUUGACAGUAAAGUUCACCGGUGGGCUGUUGCCUUCGGCAAGCCUAGUAAACACCGGCGAGCGCUGAAGCACGUUGAUAUCAUUGUGUGAUCCGACCAUGCCAAAGAAAGAGUGCCAGAUCCAGAGAUCUUGAGACGCAAUGGCCUCUAGUAUGACAGUGCAAGCCCUGACAUGGCCCUUAUACUGCCCUUGCCAAGCAGAAGGGCAGUCCUUCCACUCCCAGUGCAUGCAGUCUAUGCUACCAAGCAUCCCUGGGAAGCCCUUGUUGGCAUUCAUCACCAACAAACAGGCUGUAUCUUUAGCGGUCGGCUCUCUCAAGUACUCAGGGCCAAACACGGCAAUAAUAGCCUUGCAAAACUUAUACAGGGACUCUAGGCAUGUAGACUCGCUCAUACGGACGUACUCGUCAAUGAGAUCACCGGGCACUCCGUAUGCAAGCAUUCGGAUGGCGGCAGUGCAUUUCUGAUAAGAGAAGAAACCAAUCAUGCCAACAGCAUCCUCUUUGCACUCGAAAUAGUCAUCAUAGCCGACCACCCCCUCUCUAAUACGGUUGAAAAGAUGCCUACUCAUACGGAAACGGCGGCGGAAUUUUUGAUGUUUGAACGGGUUUGUUGUAUCAAAGUAGUCCUUCCAAAGAAGGAAAUGUCCGCUCUCUCAGUUGCGAUUCAACGCCGGAAGGUGGCCCGGAAUGGAGCCACGGAACAAUGGCCGCUGGCUGUUGAGGUGGUGAUGGACCAACAUGGCAGCCAAUAUCUCCUCCUUGUCAUUGGACAACGAAACAUCGGAGUCUCAAAGGAAAUUGUGAAAAAAGAACUUGUCGGUGGAGUCCAUUUUGUACCUUGGCAAAUUGUCAAACAUCUUGCAGGGAUCGACGAAGCAGACGGCCAGCAAAGGGAGUCGCGGCGCGCACGGACCAACUACCUGCCCUGCCGGCGUCCGACGAGCAUGCCGGUGAGGAUCUGGCGGGGCGGCUGUGUGGUGGGGGGGGCGCGGGGGUGGGAAGCAGUCGGCUCCCCGGCGGCAAGACGGCGGUGGCGAGUGACGUGGGAGUGGGCGGCGUUGUUGGGCGGAUGUGGAGGCGCCGACAGCUGGCAGAGUCGCCGACAAAAAUGGGCGGCGGCAUUGGCGAUGAAGGAGGUGGGCAAGGGAUGCUGUUGGAUGGGGGAGGCCAUUGUGCACCGACCAGCGGGCCCGGGGGAUAAGAAGGCGAGCGUGCGUGUGUCCAUUGCAUGUCCGCGCCGAUGCAAAUCUGGCUCAAAAAUGGUCCGGUAAUGGGUCGCCCACGGACGAAAAGCGGACGCGCAUCCAUUUGGGUCGGUGCAUUGGGCCACCUUUUGUGUCCGCACCGACCCAAACGAACGGCGGUGGACGAACUGGGUCGCCCCAUUGGAGUUGCUCUAAGGAAAAAGAAAAGAAAACCCCGAAGCAAUCAAGCUAUCGAUCGGCAAACUACAACAACGACCAUAUCCGCACCAACAUCUUAUGAUGUCAUAAGGAAAACAAAAAGGUUCACCAUCGAUGCCUUCAGGAAGGGAACGCCGCUCAAGUGCCGCCAUCACCUGAUCCGACCACCAAUGAUCAGAGUCUUAGUUUCCACACUGAAGAACAAGUCCGAGCAUAUUCGACCAAUGCUUUCAAUAAGGUAACAUCGCAAAAACAUCACUAUUGUCAAGCAUAACCAACUCAGGUCACAACUAAUAUUUUCACCCCCGAGCUCGAGACCAGGUACGUAACAAACGUCAUCAAAUAAGAGUCACCAUGUGUUAUCGCCACUACUUUUCGUGAUCCCAAUAGCUAUAUGCGUUGGGUUAGAAAUUCCACCACCGUAGCUGCACAAUCAUACCCUUUGCGUCAAAUCGCUGUCCAUAAAUUGCAUCUAAUCGCUGAAGGUAAACUGGUUGGAGUGAGAGCCACCAAAAACCAGAAAUGAACCUUUUGGCUGCAUACCACAAACUCGCUAGUAAGCGCCACCUACAAUAGCCAUUGGAUUAGGGCACCCUAGACCAUAACCACCGCAUCUGAGAGAGCGUUGAUUGAGGAGGAGGGCCAGGAAGCUGCCUCCCUCCACUUUCCCGGGCACCCCCGCUCCACGCCAUGGACGGAUCUGAGGAAAACCAACUACUUUGGCCAGUACCGCUGGAUCUACGUGGAUGCAGCAAUGGUGGUUGCACUGCCCAAUGGUAGGAGCGGGACAGCUACAUCCCCUCGAGGCACGACUGGCAGAGUUGAUUCCGACGAAUCACGGGUAGGGGCUCCCGAGCUAGUAGCCUAGAUGCGAUGGUAACAAAGGUACCAGGUUUUACCUAGGUUCCGGCUCUCUUGAAUAGAUAAUACCCUACACCUUUCUUGUGUUUGUAUUGAUUUGGGAUGGAUUAGAAUGUAGACAUUGAUCUACCACGAGAUUGUUUUGUGUGGUCUACAUGCCCUACCCCUUGGUUUAUAUAGAACCAGGGUUCUAGGGUUACAUGUAAUUAGGCUACGUAUAUAUAGCAAUCAUAUUGUAGACGAGCUCUAAGUCUUGGAGUAUGCGACAAGUCUUCGGGAAUAUUUGUUCCACGCGCCAUGGGCCUCCCACUGGUGAACUGACAUAGGGGGUCCACGGCUCAGCCCACCUGGCGGGGAGACAUCAUGGUGAGUUACCCCUAGUUCGAGACACCAUCAAUGAUGACCGCGAUCAAGGCGCAACCAGACGAUUGUGAGGGUUGGGAGACACCCGGCAACGACCUAAUAGAGCUCGGGGUCAAGUGUCACGCAUACGAGGCCCCGCGGCCACCAACCACCGCAUGAGGCUUUGCACCGAUGGCGCCGAUCAGUGGUGGCGAGGAAGGAAGGAGGCCUAUGGUGGUGGUGGUGGUUGAUGCGCCACCUGAAUCGAGCGAUAAGGGGGCCUCGCUCGUUUGAUGUCCAUUUGUGGUCCUUUGAGUAACUUUUUAUUAUAACACAGUAUAGAAGCAGCACUCAUAUGGGACUAGCAAGGACCAUGGCUUCUCCAAACAUGAUGAAUUCUUUUGAAGACCUAAUAAUCAAUUUAUAAAGAGCCAUGUGAUCUGCAGCAUUUUAGCAAGCGAACAGUCUAAAAUAAAUCUUAAAUUUGUAAUCUGAACCUGAAUUGAACCAUGUCUUCAAAUUUAUAAAGAUGGAUCUGACACGUAGGCCCAGUGAGAGAAGCAUGUGAUCCUGAUCGGGAUUGAUCUUUUCCCGGUUCUACAACGAAGUGUUUAGUAGAAAUCAACCAGCGAUAGACCGUGAUCUAAAAAUAUAGGGUGACAAUAUUAGGGAUUUUGACUUUAGAGUUCGACUCAGACUCAAUGAAUUCAAGAUUUAAUUCGGACAUUUUGAUUUUAUUACAAAACAAAAUACAUGUAUUCCCCACAAAAUAUCCCGUCAAAAAUUGGGAUGCAUUUUCUAAAACGUAAUUGUAGCUACUUAAGCCCUUCUAUGCAAUCUUUGCCUAAUUAAGCAUUGCCCUAUUGAACUAUAUGACCUGAUGCUGGACAGUGGGACAGCCGACUCUAUUUACAGCAUGGAUUGUCUGGUGUAUUAGCUAUUAUAAUAAUUAAAUUGUGUAGAAUCUAAUACCUGAUGCUCGAUAUAACAUUGCCCAUGGUUCUUAGCGAAAAUUCGUGAGCCUUAAACUCAAACAACGCACACAUUUUGUUAAACAACUCGACUACAAUAGAUAACUUCAUCGCACACAUUCAUACAAAGAUAAUCAUCUGCCAUUGGUGGACAAUUUACACGCCGUUUGGUCCGCCAAAUUGUUUGCGAACUACAACAACAUUGGACACGAACGACACCAAGAUAAUUGUCUAUGAUGCAUCUUAUUUCGUGAAAAAAUAUAUUUUAUACACGGUGUGCGUGCAAACCAUACAAGAAUUGCACACGAUUAUGCUUUGCGGGCCGUUUGAAAACCCCAGAACAUCGUAGAAAUUUUCUCACUGGUCUGCGAUGAUCCCCCCAUCCCUGUUAAGCGUGAGAUAUUCUAGGCAUCAAGAGUUACUUGCGUCAUGAGUUGAGGUAGUUGGGGAUAGGUUGUUUUUCUAUUUAAAUCUCUUCUAUCUCUCUCUACCCCGAAUCCCUCUCUCUCUGUAAUCUGUUCGAUUGCCUCUCCAACCGAUUGCCUUGUACUCCGUGUGAGGUCUUCUCACUAGAUCAAUAUAAUACCAUGCGGGAUCCAUGUUAGUGAAGGAAAUAUGCCCUAGAGGCAAUAAUAAAGUUAUUAUUUAUUUCCUCAUAUCAUGAUAAAUGUUUAUUAUUCAUGCUAGAAUUGUAUUAACCGGAAACAUGAUACAUGUGUGAAUACAUAGACAAACAUAUAGUCACUACUAUGCCUCUACUUGACUAGCUCAUUAAUCAAAGAUGGUUAUGUUUCCUAACCAUAGACAUGUGUUGUCAUUUGAUUAAUAGGAUCACAUCAUUAGGAGAAUGAUGUGAUUGACAUGACCCAUCCCGUUAGCCUAGAACUUGAUCGUUUAGUAUUCUGCUAUUGCUUUCUUCAUGACUUAUACAAGUUCCUGUAACUAUGAGAAUUAUGCAACUCCCGUUUACCGGAAGAACACUUUGGGUACUACCAAACGUCACAACAUAACUGGGUGAUUAUAAAGGAGUACUACAGGUGUCUCCGAAGGUACAUGUUGGGUUGGCGUAUUUCGAGAUUAGGUUUUGUCACUCCGAUUGUCGGAGAGGUAUCUCUGGGCCCUCUCGGUAAUGCACAUCACUAUAAGCCUUGCAAGCAAUAUGACCAAUGGGGUGGUUACGAGAUGAUGCAUCACAGAACGAGUAAAGAGACUUGCCGGUAACGAGAUUGAACUAGGUAUUGGAUAUCGACGAUCGAAUCUCGGGCAAGUAACAUACCGAUGACAAAGGGAACAACGUAUGUUGUUAUGCGGUUAUGUAGGGUCCGCUAUUGGUUAUUGAUCGAGAAUGGUUCUAGGUCAUGUCUACAUAGUUCUCGAACCUGUAGGGUCCGCAUGCUUAACGUUUCGAUGACAGUUUUAUUAUGAGUUUAUAAGUUUUGAUGUACCGAAGUUUGUUCGGAGUCUUGGAUGUGAUCAUGGACAUGACGAGGAGUCUCGAAAUGGUCGAGACAUAAAGAUUGAUAUAUUGGACGACUAUAUUCGGACACCGGAAUUGUUCCGGGUGAUUUCAGAGAAAAUCGGAGUGCCGGGGGGGUUACCGGAACCCCCUGGGAGAGUAUUGGGCCUUAUGGGCCUUAGGGGAAAGGAGAGAGGGGCGGCCAGCAUGGGCCGCGCGCCCCCUCCCCCCUCUGGUCCGAAUUGGACUAGGAGGGGGGCGGCGCCCCCCCUUUCCUUCCCCCUCUCCCCCUUCCUUCCCCCUCCUAGUAGGAGUAGGAAAGGAGGAGUCCUACUCCUACUAGGAGGAGGAUUCCUCCUCCCUUGGCGCGCCCAAAGGGGCCGGCCGGCCUCCCCCCUUGCUCCUUUAUAUACGGGGGCGGGGGGGCACCCCAGAUACACACAAGUUGAUCUACGGAUCGUUCCUUAGCCGUGUGCGGUGCCCCCCUCCACCAUAUUCCACCUCGGUCAUAUCGUCGCGGAGUUUAGGCAAAGCCCUGCGCCGGUAGAACAUCAUCAUCGUCACCACGCCGUCGUGCUGACGGAACUCAUCUCCGGAGCUCGGCUGGAUCGGAGGCCGGAGAUCGUCAUCGAGCUGAACGUGUGCUAAACUCGGAGGCCCCGUACGUUCGGUGCUUGGAUCAGUCGGAUCGUGAAGACGUACGACUACAUCAACCGCGUUGUGCUAACGCUUCCGUUUACGGUCUACGAGGGUACGUGGAUGAACACUCUCCCCUCUCGUUGCUAUAUCAUCACCAUGAUCUUGUGUGUGCGUAGGAAUUUUUUUUGAAAUUACUACGUUGCCCAACAGUGGCAUCCGAGCCUAGGUUUUAUGCGUUGAUGUUAUAUGCACGAGUAGAACACAAGUGAGUUGUGGGCGAUACAAGUCAUACUGCUUACCAGCAUGUCAUACCUUGGUUCGGCGGUAUUGUGAGAUGAAGCGGCCCGGACCGAUAUUACGCGUACGCUUACGCGAGACUGGUUUCACCGUUACGAGCACUCGUGCUUAAAGGUGGCUGGCGGGUGUCUGUCUCUCUCACUUUAGCUGAAUCGAGUAUGGCUACGCCCGGUCCUUGCGAAGGUUAAAACAACACCAACUUGACGAACUAUCGUUGUGGUUUUUGAUGCGUAGGUAAGAACAGUUCUUGCUAAGCCCGUAGCAGCCACGUAAAAUUUGCAACAACAAAGUAGAGAACGUCUAACUUGUUUUUGCAGGGCAUGUUGUGAUGUGAUAUGGUCAAGACGUGAUGCUAUAUUUUAUUGUAUGAGAUGAUCAUGUUUUGUAACCGAAGUUAUCGGCAACUGGCAGGAGCCAUAUGGUUGUCGCUUUAUUGUAUGAAAUGCAAACGCCCUAUAAUUGCGUUACUUUAUCACUAAGCGGUAGCGAUAGUCGUAGAAGCAAUAGAUGGCGUAACGACAACGAUGCUACGAUGGAGAUCAAGGUGUCGCGCCGGUGACGAUGGUGAUCAUGACGGUGCUUCGAAGAUGGAGAUCACAAGCACAAGAUGAUGAUGGCCAUAUCAUAUCACUUAUAUUGAUUGCAUGUGAUGUUUAUCCUUUAUGCAUCUUAUCUUGCUUUGAUUGACGGUAGCAUUUUAAGAUGAUCUCUCACUAAUUAUCAAGAAGUGUUCUCCCUGAGUAUGCACCAUUGCGAAAGUUCUUCGUGCUGAGACACCACGUGAUGAUCGGGUGUGAUAGGCUCUACGUUCAAAUACAACGGGUGCAAAACAGUUGCACACGCGGAAUACUCAGGUUAUACUUGACGAGCCUAGCAUAUACAAAUAUGGCCUCGGAACACAGAGACCGAAAGGUCGAGCGUGAAUCAUAUAGUAGAUAUGAUCAACAUAGCGAUGUUCACCAUUGAAACUACUCCAUCUCACGUGAUGAUCGGACAUGGUUUAGUUGAUUUGGAUCACGUGAUCACUUAGAUGACUAGAGAGAUGUCUGUCUAAGUGGGAGUUCUUAAGUAAUAUGAUUAAUUGAACUUAAAUUUAUCAUGAACUUAGUACCUGAUAGUAUUUUGCUUGUCUAUGUUUGUUUGUAGAUAGAUGGCUCGUGCUGUUGUUCCAUUGAAUUGUAAUGCGUUCCUUGAGAAAGCAAAGUUGAAAGAUGAUGGUAGCAAUUACACGGACUGGGUCCGUAACCUGAGGAUUAUCCUCAUUGCUGCACAGAAAAGUUACAUCCUGGAAGCACCGCUGGGUGCCAGGCCUGCUGCUGAUGCAACUGACAAUGUUAAGAACGUCUGGCAGAGCAAAGCUGAUGACUACUCUAUAGUUCAGUGUGCCAUGCUUUACGGCUUAGAACCGGGACUUCAACGACGUUUUGAACGUCAUGGAGCAUAUGAGAUGUUCCAGGAGUUGAAGUUAAUAUUUCAAGCAAAUGCCCGGAUUGAGAGAUAUGAAGUCUCCAAUAAGUUCUAUAGCUGCAAAAUGGAGGAGAAUAGUUCUGUCAGUGAACACAUACUCAAAAUGUCUGGGUAUAAUAAUCACUUGAUUCAACUGGGAGUUAAUCUUCCUGAUGAUAGUGUCAUUGACAGAAUUCUCCAAUCACUGCCACCAAGCUACAAGAGCUUCGUGAUGAACUAUAAUAUGCAAGGGAUGAACAAGACUAUUCCCGAGCUCUUCGCAAUGCUAAAACCUGCGGAGGUAGAAAUCAAGAAGGAGCAUCAAGUGUUGAUGGUCAACAAGACCACUAGUUUCAAGAAGAAGGGCAAAGGGAAGAAGAAGGGGAACUUCAAAAAGAACGGCAAGCAAGUUGCUGCUCAAGAGAAGAAACCCAAGUCUGGACCUAAGCCUGAAACUGAGUGCUUCUACUGCAAGCAGACUGGACACUGGAAGCGGAACUACCCCAAGUAUUUGGCGGAUAAGAAGGAUGGCAAAGUGAACAAAUAUAUAUGUGAUAUACAUGUUAUUGAUGUGUACCUUACUAAUGCUCGCAGUAGCACCUGGGUAUUUGAUACUGGUUCUGUUGCUAAUAUUUGCAACUCGAAACAGGGACUAUGGAUUAAGCGAAGAUUAGCUAAGGACGAGGUGACGACACGCGUGGGAAAUGGUUCCAAAGUCGAUGUGAUCGCGGUCGGCACGCUACCUCUACAUCUACCAUCGGGAUUAGUAUUAGACCUAAAUAAUUAUUAUUUGGUGCCAGCGUUGAGCAUGAACAUUAUAUCUGGAUCUUGUUUGAUGCGAGACGGUUAUUCAUUUAAAUCAGAGAAUAAUGGUUGUUCUAUUUAUAUGAGUAAUAUCUUUUAUGGUCAUGCACCCUUGAAGAAUGGUCUGUUUUUAUUGAAUCUCGAUAGUAGUGAUACACAUAUUCAUAGUGUUGAAACCAAAAGAUGCAGAGUUGAUAACGAUAGUGCAACUUAUUUGUGGCACUGCCGUUUGGGUCAUAUCAGUGUAAAGCGCAUGAAGAAACUCCAUACUGAUGGACUUUUGGAAUCACUUGAUUAUGAAUCACUUGGUACUUGCGAACCGUGCCUUAUGGGCAAGAUGACUAAAACGCUGUUCUCCGGUACUAUGGAGAGAGCAACAGAUUUGUUAGAAAUCAUACAUACAGAUGUAUGUGGUCCAAUGAAUGUUGAAGCUCGUGGCGGAUAUCGUUAUUUUCUCACCUUCACAGAUGAUUUGACCAGAUUGGGUAUAUCUACUUAAUGAAACACAAGUCUGAAACAUUUGAAAAGUUCAAAGAAUUUCAGAGUGAAGUGGAAAAUCAUCGUAACAAGAAAAUAAAGUUUCUAUGAUCUGAUCGUGGAGGAGAAUAUUUGAGUUACGAGUUUGGUCUACACUUGAAACAAUGCGGGAUAGUCUCGCAACUCACGCCACCUGGAACACCACAACGAAAUGGUGUGUCCGAACGUCGUAAUCGUACUUUACUUGAUAUGGUGCGAUCUAUGAUGUCUCUUACCGAUUUACCACUAUCGUUUUGGGGUUAUGCUUUAGAGACGACCGCAUUCACGUUAAAUAGGGCACCAUCAAAAUCCGUUGAGACGACGCCUUAUGAACUAUGGUUUGGCAAGAAACCAAAGUUGUCGUUUCUUAAAGUUUGGGGCUGCGAUGCUUAUGUGAAGAAACUUCAACCAGAUAAGCUCGAACCCAAAUCGGAGAAAUGUGUCUUCAUAGGAUACCCAAAGGAGACUAUUGGGUACACCUUCUAUCACAGAUCUGAGGGCAAGAUUUUCGUUGCUAAAAUCAGAUGCUUUCUAGAGAAGGAGUUUCUCUCGAAAGAAGUGAGUGGGAGGAAAGUAGAACUUGAUGAGAUAACUGUAUCUACUCCCUUAUUGGAAAGUAGUUCAUCACAAGAACCGGUUCCUGUGACAACUACACCAAUCGGUGAGGAAGCUAAUGAUAUUGAUCAUGAAACUUCAGAUCAAGUUUCUACUGAACCUCGUAGGUCUACCAAAGUAAGAUCCGCACCAGAGUGGUACGGUAAUCCUAUUCUGGAAGUCAUGUUACUUGACCAUGAUGAACCUACGAACUAUGAGGAAGCGAUGAUGAGCCCAGAUUUCACAAAAUGGCUAGAAGCCAUGAAAUCUGAGAUGGGAUCCAUGUAUGAAAACAAAGUAUGGACUUUGGUUGACUUGCCCGAUGAUCGGCAAGCCAUUGAGAAUAAAUGGAUUUUUAAGAAGAAGACUGACGCUGAUGGUAAUGUAACUGUCUAUAAAGCUCGACUUGUUGCGAAAGGUUUUCGACAAGUUCAAGGGGUUGACUACGAUGAGACUUUCUCACCCGUAGCGAUGCUUAAGUCUGUCCGAAUCAUGUUAGCUAUUGCUGCAUUUCAUGAUUAUGAAAUUUGGCAAAUGGAUGUCAAAACUGCAUCCUUGAAUGGAUUUCUAGAAGAAGAGUUGUAUAUGAUGCAGCCAGAAGGUUUUGUUGAUCCAAAAGGUGCUAACAAAGUGUGCAAGCCCCAGCGAUCCAUUUAUGGACUGGUGCAAGCAUCUCGGAGUUGGAAUAAACGUUUUGAUAGUGUGAUCAAAGCAUAUGGUUUUAUACAGACUUUUGGAGAAGCCUGUAUUUACAAGAAAGUGAGUGGGAGCUCUGUAGCAUUUCUGAUUUUAUAUGUAGAUGACAUAUUAUUAAUUGGAAAUGAUAUAGAAUUUCUGGAUAGCAUAAAGGGAUACUUGAAUAAAAGUUUUUCAAUGAAAGACCUCGGUGAAGCUGCUUAGAUAUUGGGCAUCAAGAUCUAUAGAGAUAGAUCAAGACGCUUAAUAGGACUUUCACAAAGCACAUACCUUGACAAAAUUUUGAAAAAGUUCAAAAUGGAUUAGGCAAAGAAAGGUUUCUUGCCUGUGCUACAAGGUGUGAAGUUGAGUCAAACUCAAUGCCCGACCACAGCAGAAGAUAGAGAGAAAAUGAAAGAUGUUCCCUAUGCUUCAGCCAUAGGCUCUAUCAUGUAUGCAAUGCUGUGUACCAGGCCUGACGUAUGCUUAGCAAUAAGCUUGGCAGGAAGGUACCAAAGUAAUCCAGGAGUGGAUCACUAGACAGCGGUCAAGAACAUCCUAAAAUACCUGAAAAGGACUAAGGAUAUGUUUCUCGUAUAUGGAGGUGACAAAGAGCUAGUCGUAAAUGGUUACGUCGAUGCAAGCUUUGACACUGAUCCGGACGAUUCUAAAUCGCAAACCUGAUACGUAUUUUUAUUAAACGGUGGAGCUGUAAGUUGGUGCAGUUCUAAACAAAGCGUCGUGGCGGGAUCUACAUGUGAAGCGGAGUACAUAGCUGCUUCUGAAGCGGCAAAUGAAGGAGUCUGGAUGAAGGAGUUCAUUUCUGAUCUAGGUGUCAUACCUAGUGCAUCGGGACCAAUGAAGAUCUUCUGUGACAAUACUGGUGCAAUUGCCUUGGCAAAGGAAUCCAGAUUUCACAAGAGGACCAAGCACAUCAAGAGACGCUUCAAUUCCAUUCGGGACCAAGUCCAAGUGGGAGACAUAGAGAUUUGCAAGAUACAUAUGGAUCUGAAUGUUGCAGACCCGUUGAUUAAGCCUCUCUCACGAGCAAAACAUGAUUAGCACCAAGACUCCAUGGGUGUUAGAAUCAUUACUAUGUAAUCUAGAUUAUUGACUCUAGUGCAAGUGGGAGACUGAAGGAAAUAUGCCCUAGAGGCAAUAAUAAAGUUAUUAUUUAUUUCCUCAUAUCAUGAUAAAUGUUUAUUAUUCAUGCUAGAAUUGUAUUAACCGGAAACAUGAUACAUGUGUGAAUACAUACACAAACAUAUAGUCACUAGUAUGCCUCUACUUGACUAGCUCAUUAAUCAAAGAUGGUUAUGUUUCCUAACCAUAGACAUGUGUUGUCAUUUGAUUAAUGGGAUCACAUCAUUAGGAGAAUGAUGUGAUUGACAUGACCCAUCCCGUUAGCCUAGCACUUGAUCGUUUAGUAUUCUGCUAUUGCUUUCUUCAUGACUUAUACAAGUUCGUGUAACUAUGAGAAUUAUGCAACUCCCGUUUACUUGAAGAACACUUUGGGUACUACCAAACGUCACAACGUAACUGGUUGAUUAUAAAGGAGUACUACAGGUGUCUCCGAAGGUACAUGUUGGGUUGGCGUAUUUCGAGAUUAGGUUUUGUCACUCCGAUUGUCGGAGAGGUAUCUCUGGGCCCUCUCGGUAAUGCACAUCACUAUAAGCCUUGCAAGCAAUAUGACCAAUGGGGUGGUUACGAGAUGAUGCAUUACAGAACGAGUAAAGAGACUUGCCGGUAACGAGAUUGAACUAGGUAUUGGAUACCGACGAUUGAAUCUCGGGCAAAUAACAUACCGAUGACAAAGGGAACAACGUAUGUUGUUAUGCGGUUUGACCGAUAAAGAUCUUCGUAGAAUAUGUAGGAACCAAUAUGGGCAUCCAGGUCCCGCUAUUGGUUAUUGACCAAGAAUGGUUUUAGGUCAUGUCUACAUAGUUCUCGAACCUGUAGGGUCCGCACGCUUAACGUUUCGAUGACAGUUUUAUUAUGAGUUUAUAAGUUUUGAUGUACCGAAGUUUGUUCGGAGUCCUGGAUGUGAUCACGGACAUGACGAGGAGUCUCGAAAUGGUUGAGACAUAAAUAUUGAUAUAUUGGACGACUAUAUUCAGACACCGGAAUUGUUCUGGGUGAUUUCGUAGAAAACCGGAGUGCCGGGGGGGUUACCGGAACCCCCCGGGAGAGUAUUGGGCCUUAUGGGCCUUAGGGGAAAGGAGAGAGGGGCGGCCAGCAUGGGCCGCGCGCCCCCUCCCCCCUCUGGUCCGAAUUGGACUAGGAGGGGGGGGGCGGCGCCCCCCCUUUCCUUCCCCCUCUCCCCCUUCCUUCCCCUUCCUAGUAGGAGUAGGAAAGGAGGAGUCCUACUCCUACUAGGAGGAGGAUUCCUCCUCCCUUGGCACGCCCAAAGGGGCCGGCCGGCCUCCCCCCUUGCUCCUUUAUAUACGGGGGCGGGGGGCACCCCAGAUACACACAAGUUGAUCUACGGAUCGUUCCUUAGCCGUGUGCGGUGCCCCCUCCACCAUAUUCCACCUCGGUCAUAUCGUCGCGGAGUUUAGGCGAAGCCCUGCGCCGGUAGAACAUCAUCAUCGUCACCACACCAUCGUGCUGACGGAACUCAUCUCCGGAGCUCGGCUGGAUCGGAGGCCGGAGAUCGUCAUCGAGCUGAACGUGUGCUGAACUCGGAGGCCCCGUACGUUCGGUGCUUGGAUCGGUCGGAUCGUGAAGACGUACGACUACAUCAACCGUGUUGUGCUAACGCUUCCGCUUACAGUCUACGAGGGUACGUGGAUGAACACUCUCCCCUCUCGUUGCUAUAUCAUCACCAUGAUCUUGCGUGUGCGUAGGAUUUUUUUUUGAAAUUACUACGUUGCCCAACAGUUAGGGGUUGAGACGCUUCAUCAUUACUUUCAUGGUAUCAGAGCAUGUCCCUUCCACCACAUCUAACCUUCAUCGAUCUCCCAAAACCCACCUCGCUGCCAUGUCUACCUCCACCACUCCGUCUCCUCCGGCCACAACUACAACGUCUCUGAGCCACUCACCCGGACGAACUACGUCCUUUGGCGAGCCCUUGGGCGAUCCUAGAUAAUGGCCGCUGGCCUGUAUGGCUACAUCGACCAAACCAUGGCAGAACCUUCCAAGCUCAUCACAACCAAGGACAAGGACGACAAGGACCAGGUGAUCACCAAUCCUGCAUAUGCCCCCUGGUUAGUCCAAGAUCAACAUAUUGUUGCAUAUCUCCUUCAAAAUCUCUUCAAGGAGGUGCUGAUUCAAGUAGCAUCGAUGGAAACAUCGUAUGCGAUCUGGACGGCUCUAAGCAACAUGUUCUCCAUCGUCUCACUGUCCCGCGUCAACAACAUUCGUGUCUCCCUCACCAACGCCCAGAAGGGCAACCAGCCAGCGGUGACCUACUUCGGGCACAUGUGUGCUCUCUCUGUUGAGCUUGCGGCGGCAGGCAAACUGAUCAAGGAGGACGAGCUGGUGCCAUUCAUCCUCGCGGGGCUUGACAUGGAGUAUCAGCCCAUCAUUUCCGCCUGGGACGCACACACUGAUCCAGUCACCGUCGAGAACCUCUUCUCCAUGGUAGCCAAUUUUGACCAGCGUGUCGAGAUAUUCCAUGUGACAGGCGCCGGCAACUUCAAGUCCUCCGCGAACCUUGGUUCUCACGGUCGCUAGGGAUCCCACAAGGGUUCCCGCAGUCAGCAGAAGGGUGGUGGCGGCAGCGGAUCUCGCACUGGUGGCGGCGGCUACAACAACAACAGUGGUGGUGGCGGCGGCCACUACGGCGGCAACGGCGGCCACUACGGUGGUGGUGGUGGCUACCAUCAUCAGGGAAACAACUGAUACGUCAAUUUUGCAUCAUGUUUUCCUACUGUUAUUUAUAAUGUUUUAUGCAUAAUAAUGCUUUUUGGAAUAAUUCUAAUGCCUUUUCUCUGAUAACAUGCAAGGUUCACACAAAGAGGGAGAAUACCGGCAGCUGGAAUUCUGGACAUGAAAAAGCUACGCCAGGCCACCUAUUCUGCACAACUCCAAAUGAGCUGAAACUUCACGGGGAUUUUUUAGGGAAUAAAUAAGAAUUAUUGGAGCAAAUAACUACCAGAGGGGGCCCACCAAGUGGGCACAACCCACCUGGGCGCGCCAGGGAGCCCAGGCGCGCCCUGGUGGGUUGUGCCCUCCUCAGCCCACCUCCAGUGCCCAUCUUCUGGUAUAUAAGUCAUUUUUACCUAUAAAAAGAGGAGAGGCCUUUCGGGACGAAGCGCCGCUGUCUCGAGAAAAAUUAGUAGAACUUCCUCUUCGGAAUAGAAAUUGGCUAUUUCUCCAUAGGGAAAGUCGUGUGCAAUGAAAAAUGCAAGCACGAUUUGGGGAGGGAUUUUUCUCUAUUGUAACAAGGAAGAAUUAUCUACUCCAUCCGACUAGUUCCGGAUUCGUGUCCCGGGGAACCCAUAUAGAAAAGACCCAUCAAAGUUUUUAACUUUGACUCACUUCAUUUACAAAUACAAAAUUAUUGGUUUGGUUAAUUUAGGGAACUUGGGCAUGAGCACUUUUGCCCUCCGGCAAAGCGAUUCCGCCGGGGAACUUCCCUCCCGGAGGGGGAAAUCAUCGUCAUCAUCAUCACCAACAACUCUCCCAUCUUGGGGAGGGCAAUCUCCAUCAACAUCUUCAACAACACCAUUUCCUCUCAAACCCUAGUUCAUCUCUUGUGUUCAAUCUUUGUACCAGAACUAUAGAUUGGUACUUGCGGGUGACUAGUAGUGUUGAUUACAUUUUGUAGUUGAUUGCUAUAUGGUUUAUUCGGUGGAAGAUUAUAUGUUCCCAUUAUGUUAUUUAAUACCCCUUUGAUCUUGAGCAUGGUUAUCAUUUGUGAGUAGUUACUUUUGUUCUUGAGGUCACGGGAGAAAUCUUGUUGCAAGUAAUCAUGUGAACUUGAUAUGUGUUCAAUAUUUUGAUGGUACGUAUGUGGUGAUUACCUUAGUGGUGUCAUGCGAACGUCGACUACAUGACAAUUCACCAUAUUUGUGCCUAAGAGAAUGAAUUGUGGAGUAGUUAUUAGAUGAUGGGUUUCGAGAGUGAUCGAAGCUUAAACCCUAGUUUAUGCACUAUUCCGUAAGGGACUCAUUUGGAUCCAAAAGUUUAAUGCUAUGAUUAGAUUUAUUCUUAGUACUUUUCUCGUAGUUGCGGAUGCUUGUGAGGGGGUUAAUCAUAUGUAGGAGGCUUGUUCAAGUAAGAACAACACCUAAGAAUCGGUCCACCCACAUAUCAAAUUACCAAAGUAGCGAACACAAAUCAAACCAACAUGAUGAAAGUGACUAGAUGAAAUUCCCGUGUACCCUCAAGAACGCUUUGCUUAUCAUAAGAGACAGUUUUGGCCCGUCCUUUACCUCAAAAGGAUUGGGCUACCUAUCUGCACUUUUGUUACCUUUACCGUUACUUGCUCGUUACAAAUUAUCUUGCUAUCAAACUACUCGUUACUUAUAAUUUCAGUGCUUGCGGAAAAUACCUUGCUGAAAACUACUUGUCAUUUCCUUCUGCUCCUCGUUGGGUUUGACACUCUUACUUAUCGAAAGGACUACGAUUGAUCCUCUGUACUUGUGGGUCAUCAAGGCUCUUUUCUGGCGCCGUUGCCGGGGAGUGAAGCGCUCUUGGUAAGUGAAAAUCGGUAAGGAAAAUUUAUUACAACGUGCUGAAAUUUAUUGUCACUUGUUACUAUGGAGAACAAUCCUUUGAAGGGUUUGUUAGGGGUAUCUUCACCUUGACCGGAACCACAAUUAGUUACCCCUCAACCUGCUGCACCUACUGAAAAUAUUGGUUAUGAAAUCCCUUCGGGUAUGAUAGAACAACUGCUAGCUAAUCCUUAUGCAGGAGACAGAACCAAACAUCCUGAUAUGCACUUGAUAUAUGUGGAUGAAAUUUGUGGAUUAUUUAAGCUUGCAGGUUUACCUAGAGAUGAAUCUAAGAAGAAGGUUUUCCCUUUAUCUUUGAACGGAAAAGCAUUGGCAUGGUAUAGGCUAUGCGAUGAUAUUGGAUCCUGGAAUUGGAAUCGAUUGAAAUCAGAAUCACGCAAAAAUUUAUCCUGUGCAUCUAGUUCAUCGUUACCGGAAUUAUAUAUAUAAUUUUUGUCCUCGCGAAGGAGAAAGUAUCGCUCUAGCUUGCGGGAGGCUUAAGUCAAUGUUAUAUUAAUGCCCCAAUCAUGAUCUCUCAAGAGAAAUUAUUAUUCAGAAUUUUUAUGCUCGGCUUUCUCAUGAUGAUCGAUCCAUGCUUGAUACUUCUUGUACUGGUUCCUUUGUGAAGAAGACUAUUGACUUCUGGUGGGAUCUUUUAGAAAGAAUUAAAUGCAACUCUGAAGAUUGGGAACUCGAAGAAGGUAAGGAGUCAGGUAUUAAGCUUAAGUAUGAGUGUGUUAAAUCUUUUAUGAAUACCGAUGCUUUUCAAAAGUUUAGCACUAAAUAUGGACUUGACUCUGAGAUAGUAGCCUCCUUUUGUGAAUUAUUUGCUACUCAUGUUGAUCUCCCUAAGGAGAAGUGGUUUAAAUAUCACCCACCUAUUAAAGAAGAAAUUAAAGAAUCGAUAAUAGCUAAAGAUGAAACUAUUAUCUAUAAUGUUGAUCCAGUUGUUCCUGCUGCUUAUAUUGAAAAACCACCUUUCCCAGUUAGGAUAAAGGAACAUGCUAAAGUUUCAACUGUGGUCAACAAAAGUUAUAUUAGAACUUCCAAACCUGAUGAACAAAUCAAAGUAGAACCUAGUGUUGCUAUGGUUAAAUAUCUCUUGGUAUAAAAUAUGGGUCAUUUACAUUUGUGCCCCUAACUCGAACCCACUACUCAUAUAUGCCCCUAACUUCGAAGCAUGCUCAAAUUUGCCCCUAUGCCAUUAAGUGGCCUUACAGAAAUGCCCUUCCGCUCCGUUUCCGUCUGGUCAAAGGCCUUUGACCAUUUACCCGACAUUUUCUGGACAAUUUGCCCCUCCUGAGAGCUGGGCCCUUUCACUAAAAAACUCUCUCUCACCUCUCUCUCUGUAUCACUUACACGUGGGGCUACAAAAAAGAAAAUAAAAAAUAUCUCCCACCUCUAUCUCUCCCUCCCUCGUGGCAUCUCUCACCUCCGGUGAACCACAGGCCCUGGCCUGGCCGCCGCCGCUGCUGCUAGCUCACCUGGCGCUGCCGCUGGCCUCCCUUGAUGCUGCCCCUCACCUCCCCCGAGGCCUUCAUUCUCUCUCCCGCCCUCUAAACUCUCCCGCAAGCACGCCGGAGAGCGCGUCAUCGCCGUCGCCGGUCACUCACGUGGCCAACUGCAACCCCAAGCACGACCACCUCUCUAGGAAGCCCCUAUGAGAUGCCCUCAUCAUCUUAGCCUACGAAUUUGGCCAGAGAAGUUAAGGACCAAGCGCCAUGAUGCUGUUGGAAAUAUGCCCUAGAGGCAAUAAUAAAAGAUUAUUAUUAUAUUUUCUUGUUCAUGAUAAUUGUCUUUAUUCAUGCUAUAAUUGUAUUAUUCGGAAAUCGUAAUACACGUGUGAAUACAUAGACCAUAAUAUGUCCCUAGUAAGCCUCUAGUUGACUAGCUCGUUGAUCAACAGAUAGUCAUGGUUUCCUGACUAUGGACAUUAGAUGUCGUUGAUAACGGGAUCACAUCAUUAGGAGAAUGAUGUGAUGGACAAGACCCAAUCCUAAGCAUAGCACAAGAUCGUGUAGUUCGUUUGCUAGAGCUUUUCCAAUGUCAAGUAUCUUUUCCUUAGACCAUGAGAUCGUGUAACUCCCGGAUACGUAGGGGUGCUUUGGGUGUACCAAAGGUCACAACAUAAUUGGGUGACUAUAAAGGUGCACUACAGGUAUCUCCGAAAGUGUCUGUUGGGUUGACACGGAUCGAGACUGGGAUUUGUCACUCCGUAUGACGGAGAGGUAUCUCUGGGCCCACUCGGUAAUGCAUCAUCAUAAUGAGCUCAAAGUGACCAAGUGUUUGGUCACAUGAUCAUGCAUUAUGGUACGAGUAAAGUGACUUGCCGGUAACUAGAUUGAACAAGGUAUUGGGAAUACCGACGAUCGAAUCUCGGGCAAGUAACGUACGGAUUGACAAAGGGAAUUGUAUACGGGGUUUCUUAAAUCCUCGACAUCGUGGUUCAUCCGAUGAGAUCAUCGUGGAACAUGUGGGAGCCAACAUGGGUAUCCAGAUCCCGCUGUUGGUUAUUGGCCGGAGAGCUGUCUUGGUCAUGUCUGCAUUAUUCCCGAACCCGUAGGGUCUACACACUUAAGGUUCGGUGACGCUAGGGUUAUUAGGAAGACUUGUAUGUGUGAUUACCGAAUGUUGUUCGGAGUCUCGGAUGAGAUCCCGGACGUCUCGAGGAGUUCCGGAAUGGUCCGGAGGUGAAGAUUUAUAUAUGGGAAGUUGUCAUACGGUCACCGGAAAGUUUCGGGGGCAUAUCGGUAUUGUACCGGGGCCACCGGAGGGGUUCCGGGGGUCCACCGGGAGGGGCCACCUCUCUCGGAGGGCCUCAUGGUCCAAAGUGGGCAGGGAACCAGCCCCUGGAGGGCUGGGCGCCCCCCCCCUUGGGCCCAUGCGCCUAGGGUUGGGGGGGAAACCCUAGUGGGGGCGCCCUCCUUGCUUGGGGGGCAAGCCCCCUCCCUUGGCCGCCGCCCCCCUCUAGAUCUCAUCUAGAUGGGGCCGGCCCCCUUCCCCCUUCCCCUAUAAAUAGAGGGGCGAGGGGAGGGCUGCAUACAACAUCCAAGGCGCAGCCCCUCCCCUCCCCAACACCUCUCCUCCUCCGUUAAGAGCUUGGCGAAGCCCUGCUGGAGUACUGCCUCUCCACCACCCCACACUGUCGUGCUGCGGCUGGAGCCUUCUUCCUCAACCUCUCCUUCCCCCUUGCUGGAUCAAGAAGGAGGAGAUGUCAUACGCUCCGUACGUGUGUUGAACGCGGAGGUGCUGUCCGUUCGGCACUUGGUCAUCGGUGAUUUGGAUCACGGCGAGUACGACUCCAUCAUCCCCGUUCUCUUGAACGCUUCUGCUCGCGAUCUACAAGGGUAUGUAGAUGCACUCCUAUCACUCGUUGCUUAGAUGAACUCAUAGAUGGAUCUUGGUGAAACCGUAGGAAAAUUUUUAUUUUCUGCAUCGUUCCCCAACAGUCUUCCCCACCUCCGGCCUCGGACCGCGCCAUCGAUUCGGCGCCGUUGAAGCUCCGCGACCGGUCCCCGAGCCGCAGCGGCGCGGCCAUCGUCCUUGUAGUGAUCUCCGUCGCCUAGGCACACGGCCACCCUCUCCCUCUUGCACUACAGCUUCCCCGCCUGCGCCACCAGAGCCGCCGUGAGAACGGUCGCCGCCGUUAGCUCCCGCAACCAUAUGGCCCUAAGAGACCAACCCUGGACGCGGCUGAGCCAAGGCUACCGCCUGGUUCCCUGAGCUGGCCUCCUCUUGGCCUCCCGGCGUGCCUCCGCCGCUGGAUUUGGUCGCCGUCGGCAUCCCUCGAAGGGAUUAGUUUAGGGGGCAUUAGUUUAAUGAUGUUUUGUGAAUUAGUUUCAUGAUCUUUUUGUCUGGCUGAGCAGUGGACCCACCCUUAGUUAACACAAUAUAUUUCAAAUAAUAAUAAUAAUAAUAAUAAUAAUAAUAAUAAUACAAUGACAUGUGGGCCCUAUGUCUAGUUUGGCCGGUCCUUAUCUAGUUUUUUCAUCGGUUGGGGCCCACAUGUAAGUGUGUGUGAGAGAGGGGGUGAGAGAAAGUGUUUCUGCUCUUAUUUUGUUUCGAGUGGGUCCUGCACGUAAGUGACACAUGGAUGCAGGGGAAAAUUGUCCAGAAAACGUUAGGUAAACGGUCAAACCCCUUUGAACGGACGGAAACGGAACGGAAGGGCAUUUCUGUAAGGUCACUUAACGGCAUAGGGGCAAAUUUGAGCAUGCUUCGAAAUUAGGGGCAAAUCUGAGUAGUGGGUUCGAGUUAGGGGCACAAAUGUAAAUGACCCAUAAAAUAUAGAUCGGCAUGUUAUUUACUUAUGUGAUGAAGCUGCUAGAAUUGCCAAACCCGAUGAAAAAGAUAAACAUAGACCAGUUGUUGGCAUGCCUGUUGUCUCGGUCAAAAUACGAGAUCACUGUUAUCAUGGUUUAUGUGACUUAGGUGCUAGCGUGAGUGCUAUUCCUUUCACCCUAUAUCAAGAAAUUAUUAAUGAUAUAGCACACGCCGAAAUAGAAGACAUAGAUGUUACUAUUAAACUUGCUAAUAGAGACCAUCACACCACUUGGGAUUGUUAGAUAUGUUGAAGUCUUGUGUGGGAAAAUAAAAUACCCUACUAAUUUGCAGGUUCUUGGUUCCCCACAAGAUGCCUUUUUGUCACAGCCUGAUUUUUGGCCCUUUCUUGUUCUUUUGAUUUUCUGAGAUUUUUUGCUUGAGUUUUCUUUUUCCAUGGCUGUGUGGUCUGGAAAUUGAAGAAGAUGACCUCUUCUUCCUUUCCAGAGUGGCUUGUCAUCCCCAAAUCCAUCCCUAGACCUUGCCAUUUCCAUCUUGGACCAACCCUAAUAUUCUUUUUCUAGGAAAUAUUCCUUUUUCUGUUAAAGGAAUAAUCCUUUUUGCCCUAGGUUGUGAACCAACCUAUAUUUUCAUCACUCGUAAAAUUCCCAAAUAUUCUCAUAAAUUUUUUGGGUCAUAUCUUCCUCAAAUGUGGCAAAAUAUUUCACUUGCCAUGUUUCCCAUCAUGCUCAAUUAUUUCAUUUCCUAUUUUGUCCUAAAUGGCACUUUGUGAAGCAAGUGCUACUUAUCUUUUCCCAAUUGACUCCAAACUUCUUGGACAUCUUUUCAUGUCCAUAUCAUUGCCACAUGCCAAAAUUCAACCUCAUUUGCCUAGUAAUUAUUUAUCAAUGAUUUUCCAAAGUUUCUGUCUAGAAAGAAACUUUGUGAAGGAGGUACAAGCUAGGCAUAUCUGAAUGAGGUGAAAUUUAUGCAUGACCUCAGUACCAUCAUAUCAUAGCUCUCCACCAAAUUUGAGCUCAUGUAAUGCCUCCAUGUAAGCUCAUAUUCAAUUAUUUGUUUCUGUCCAAAUUUUCAGUUUAUGAAGCAAGUGUAUUUUAUGUUGCUUCACUAUGGCUGAAACUUUUCCAGGACCUUCUCCUAUCCGUAUAACCUAUCCCCGCCAAUUUUGGGAUCAAUUCAUCAAGACAUUAUUCCUCUAGAAUUUUCUCAAGUUACUGUCCAGAGGAGAUGUUUGUGAAGCAAGUACCAUUUUGGUUUAUCCAAUUGGCAUGAAAUUUUUGCAGCAUCUUCAUAUGGCCAGAUAACCUUGACAUGCCAAAUUUCAGCUCAAGUGGCUUCUUCAUUUGAGUGCAUCAUCAUGAUCUUGAUUCUGGACCAUUUUGGUCAGUUCCAAAGCAAGUGUAUUAAUCCCUGACCCAAAUCCCUCCAAACUUCACAGAACUAGAGUCCUUCCUAUCCUAAACCUCCCAGACAACUGAUUUGGCCCUUACCAUCUCUCUGUUGAUCACAUUGGCUUGAUCAAGUUUGCAACAGUAAACUUUAGAAGGCCAUUACCACUCAAACAAUUUGUCUUUAAUCGAGUAACCACCUCAGUUGCAGCCUCCACUGGAGGGACUAAACCCCAGACAAUGUUUGCCUGCUUGUUGCCUUCUCUUCAUGCCAGUCUGGGCGGUGACCAUCAUUUUCGCACGCACUGGCCGCGUCCAGAAUGUCGUCUUGCUCGGGCCCCUCUCCUGCUUGUCGUCUCAACGAGCGCGGGCGUGUCUACCAGCUCACCCGCGUCGUCGCCAUCCUCUUGGACCUCUCUCCCCCUCCGGAAACCUCCUCGCUGGCGAUCGUCGUCGCGCGCCCACGGGAAACCUGUAGCCGACCGUCUCUGUUUGCGCCGUGGCUUCUUCCACCUCGUGUCCCCGAGUGCCGCUCGUCUCCGUGAGCCUCUGCCACUCGUCCGCUUCCUUCUCGUGCCUCCCCGUGACUUCUGCGGCUGACAGAGCGUUGGUCGGAUCCCGCGACGACACCCGAGCUCACCCUCCCUCGCUCGGCUGUAUAUAGCCAUCCCCGGCCUCAUCCAAGCACAUCAACAGCCUCCCCUCACUCCUAGGACCCUGCCCAGCCUCUCGCCCGAGCUCCAGAGUCCGUCCUCGCCUACCAUUACCGCCAUGGCCGCCGCCUCGGCUCGCCUAAAUUGCCUCGAUGCCGGUCUCCCUCCCCCCUCAUUUCACCACCAGUAAACCCCCACCACUCCGGCGCUCCUCCCCAUCCCCUCAGUGAGUCACCGGAGCCCUUGUUGCUGCCGCCCCCAAGAUCGGCUGUCGCCCCUACUUUCGGUUGCCGCACAUCACCGCCGUCCCAGCCCUUCUCCGGCGCUAGUUUUCACCCUGGAUGGAUGCAGCUCCCUCUCCCGAGCACUUCGGUGGCCGGAGCUCCACCGGAGGCAGCCGAGUCGCCCGGGCCAGCUCCAGCACCGCGCGCCAUGCCUCCGCCUCGUGGGCGCGAGCGAGGUAGAAGACGACCACGGCCCAGGCGGGCCCCGCGUCGCCCCCGUCCCCACCAGUCAGCCGCACGGCAUUGACUCGCCCUGCCAUGUCGGAUUAAGUGGAAGCGUAAUUCCCAACUUUACACUUUCUUCUUCUGGAAACGUAUUCUCUGCUUCUUCAGUGGAGUUUAGAUUUUCUUCUUCCGAAAAUGUAUUCUUAGUAAUAUGCUUUCUGGUUUUCAGCAGCCGGCCGAAUCUGCUAGUUUGUGAACGUUCACUGCUUUAGCGUAUUUUCUGCCUAAAAAGUGAACGGCCACAAAUUUAGGCUCGAGACUCCGAUUGAGGUGAAUGUGAAUCCAAAGCCCACGUCUUCGUCUUCUCGAGCCCGUUCUCUUCCCAUAAUUUUCACUAUGGUUUGACAUACUGGAAAUGAUCAUUUUGCCCUUGCCCCUAAUCAGCCCCCUCUAAGAGAGAAUCUUUUCCGCUGAAUCUUUUCGCGGCCUCACAGCACUUCUUCCCAGAGCUUUCUUCAUCCCCAGGCAAGCCACAACACCCACUUGCAUGAUGGCCAUGCAGUAGCCAUGGUUUUCAACUUGAACACUUAAUAAUUGUCUGUUUGUUUAUCUGCAACUAUUAUCGUUGUUUCCGUACUACUUAUGGUUUCAUGUUCAUCUUCGUGCUAUGUUUCGAUGCAUCUAGUUAUCUUGUGUUCUUGCUAGCAUUACUUUUGUAUGUCAUGCUUAGUAGUAGUACAUGCUGGUGUUGGAAGUGUGCUUCGGUGCAUGACUAUCGUCUAUUAUCGAGUACCGUGGUUAUGCAUGUUCCAUUGCAUCUAGCUGGUUACAUGAUUACUUGAGGUGUUAUCUCACUCUGUGCGUUCGUUUUACAUGGUUCGGUUUGUACGGUAUUAAUACUUCAGUAAAUACGGUUUGGUUUCGGUAUAUACUAAAUUAUUUCGGUAUGGUUUCGGUAUAUACCAUAAUAACAAAAGUUGACGCGAAUUUGAAAAUGACGCCGUAACAAUUUACAAAUUUUUAUUUUGGUUUAUUCGGUUAACCAUUCGGUUUUUGGGUAUAUACCAUAAAACCAAAGUUUAAAACGGUAUAAAAAGUUCGUACCGUACCAAAACAAGAAACCAUAAAAACCAUAAAAUUGGUUCGGUUUGGUUUAUUUUCGGUAUGGUUUUUCGGUUCAGUUUCAAAAUGCACAGAGUGAGUGUUAUCGCUAUAUUCUUGCAUGGUAUUUACUUCUGAUGCUAGUGGUUAUGCUAUGCUUAUGAGUAGUGUUAUGCUUGUGAUAUUCAUGCUCGUUAGUAUGCCAUGCUCAUCUGGAUAAAUGAUUCACUGUUGUAUGCUUAAGGUUUAUGUUGCAUCCAUGUUUAUGUUGGUAUCAUGCAUAUUGUUGCAUCAUGUUAUUUUCAUAUGACUCAACUUAUUGCAUUCAAGUUUAACCAGACUUAAUUGAACUUGAACAACUUUUGGCUGAGUCAUGGUGCCACCAUAUCGAGCUGACUAGUGCUGCCACAUUUGCCUUUUAUGGGAAAGGUCCUAACAGGGUCUAUUGUCCUCCCUCUCGCUGGUGCCUCCAACCAGGGAAGGUUAUGCGCGAGCGCUACCUUGGCCGGGUAGGACGACAUAAGCCGUGUGUUAAAUCUAUCGAUAGCCGCGCCCGCGGAUAUGGGCCCAGUUCGUAAUUGGUCACACUAUGGGUCAACAGUAAUAAAAAUGAUGUGCUUAAUGACAACCCUGGUUCGAUGAUGAAAGAAGUUGGUUGAUUUUUAUGUGAUUGUGAGAGAAUCACCAUGGUAUCGAGGAUACCAAGUUGUUGGAUAUUUGUGGUGUUAUGCGAGCAUCAUGGGUAAAGUUCAAGCUCCUUGUGGUCAUGUAAUGAUUACUACGAUAUUGUUUAUACCAAGAUUGAUUGGAUCCUAAGAUGGUCAUGUCGUGUUCGCGGUGGUAAGUGAUGCGUGAGAUGGUUACGAGGUAACCCGAGCAGAGUAAGUUGGUGCAUGAUAGUGUCAUCAUGUUGCAUGCUAGUUUCAUCUUGAUUUUAUGUUCAUGCCAUGCUCAUAUUGUUCUAGUGGUAUCAUGUUCAUUUUGUUCAUGCUAUAAUUGAUCUGAUAAUAUCAUGUUAAUCCUUGUUAACCUGUAAUUGCCAUGCUGUUGUUUGUCUUCAUUGCUCUUGGUUACUGUGAGCUUGCAAGUACAUUCAAUGUACUGACCUGGCGUGUCAUGCCAGUUUGCAGGUCAAGCCAAAUUUGAUUGCUUGUUCGCCGUGGAUUCCUUGUUUGCGAGCUAGGAUAAGCGUUCCAGCCAGAGUCCCUGCGGAGUGGAGUUCACCACCAUCGUCGAUGUUCCGCUGCCAAUAGUUAUUCCGCUGCUUCGUGUUGUUCUAUUGUUUGCAUAGGCAACCACGGCAUGCAUAGUGUCGCAGUGCCGAUGUAAUCCCCUUGUACCCAAAUAGAUUGUAAUAAAGAGCUGAUUUGUUCUAUGCUAAGUAGUGUCAUAUUCCAGAAGACUUCUCCUCGAUCUCUGGGCUAGAAUAUGGGGCGUUCCGAUUUCUCUAUGCUGGGGUGCCACAACGCUUGGUAUCAGAGUAGGUCUGGAUGUAGGACGCCUUAGCCCGCGCGAUCAUUAGAAUGCGGUAGUAUAGAGUUUAGUUGGUUUGUUGCACUUGAUUGUUGCAUUUGUUUGUUGCAUAGCAUGCAUAUAGGCUCAAUUUCUUGUCACCAACGGUUAAUCUUGUGAGUGUAGGUGGCAUCAGUUUCGAUCCACUACCUGCACCCUCCUUCUUAGCAUGCCUGCUCUUUGGUGUUCGGCGUCAUCUCUGUCCUAGCAGAGUGAUGCCCUGGUGCUAAGUGUUCCAGACACCAUUUGCAGGAGUUAUGCUCGGAUAUCGCGUCGAUAUCUUUCCGCCACUCACCCAUAUCGUUUUGGUGAUAGACGUGUUUCUAUCCCGAAACGCGCCCUCCAUCUCGUCCCUUUGGCAACCCUUACUGAUCUUUGUUAUCAAAACAGGGCAAGGCCAUCGAUCCUUGCUUUUCCUCCCCCUAUCUUGUCCUGUCAUUCCAUUCUUUGUACGUGCAUGAUUCCCUUUCAUACGCUUGAUGAUGAUGUGGUCAUGACCUUUGUGUCUUGCUGCAUGAUCACCAUGUCCGUCCUCACCUCCAUAUUCGUCCAGUUGCAACCGGUGUUCAGCCAGUGCUUGGUGUAGCCUUGGUUACGCCAAAUCCUUCCACACAUGGAUUUCACUUUCGUGCACAUCCACAUCAUGUUAGAUCGUAAUACCAGAGCUUCUGCGAGAUUUGUGUGCUUAGGUGUGCAUGCAUAUUAUUGAUGUGAGUAGCAGUGAUAUGUGAUGAUUGCUUGAUAUUAUUUAUAUUAUUUGUAUGCUUGUGUGCUUUUGUUUUCGUUGUUUCUUUUGCUUCUUUCUUUGGGCCUUCGGUGUGCCAUAUUUCCCCCUUAUUAAAGUUGCUCGUCAACCAACACUAGACCCAAAGAAUCAGCAAGGAGUUCAAAUAUUUGGAAGCUCAGCUAAACGAAAUGAAGUUAUCAGCUGACUGAAGUGAAAUUGGGAAUAUCUCGUCUGAAUGCAAAUGAUAUCCUGGAUGGACUGUCAGUAUCAAGUUUGCAUUAGCGUGCACUCCUCACAACCGUACGAUAAUCCAGUCUACCUCAGUGUGCACUCUUCAUAGUAGUAAGGAUUAGAUCAGGAAGCAGAUAACACAAGACCAACAGUGCAUUAUCAGUCAAGGUAUGGUUCAGAUGCAAGGUUUGAUUCUUCGUUGAGGACAAUUUUGAAACAUGAUAUACCUGGAAGAAAGCAAGGAUGUGCCGUAUACUCAGAAAGAAGGAUAGUCCAGCAAACUCCGGUUCAUACAAGAAAUCAACAACAGAAAUAUUAAGAUGGUAUAUAUGUGUGGUAAUCGGUCUGCGUGUCACAAUGAGAAGCUUCUGGUGUAAGAAACCCAAUUUUCCCUUGCAAUCUACCAGAGAAGCUUCCAAGGCAAGAUUCCUCAGUAUGAUAUAUGGAUGACUUCCCGUGCAAGAUACUCCGCCUUCUUUAGUAAGAAACCGCAAAAGCUUUCGGCAUAAGGAACCGAGUCUUCCCUAGCAAGUCUUUAAGGGGGGGAGCUUCUGAAGCACGAUGUCUAGUCUUCCUCCGUAAGAUAGUCUGAUGGAUUCCAACAUAAGUCAUCCAAUGUUCCUCAGUACGGUAUCGAUACAAGAUAUUCCACUGUGAAUUGACAACCUUUGGCAAUGCAUCUCAAGAAUCAGAUCCGCAACAAUUUGGUCAGAAGCAAGAAUCAGUCAGAACACAAGUCUGCAUCAAGAGUCAGAUUCUCAUAUAUACCACCAAGGUAUUACAAGUCACUCGAACGAAGAUCUGACAGUCACAUGAGGAUUAUUAAAAGAAGGAAGCCAGCAGCGUGACGAAGGAUUAUGAAGAUUGACGACAACACUGAGCUCAGUACAAGUACCUGUGAACCUGGAAGAUGAUCCUGAUGAGCCCUUGUCUCCUUUUCUCCAGCGACGGCACCACGCUUGUGAUCUGAACUGUUUUUAGCUAUCCGGGGUGGAUGCCGAUUUUUAUUUAUCUAUUCAACAACUGUCACGAGUUCUGAGCUGCUUUCCGGCCGUCUCAUACAGUUGUUGAGUUUUUUUUGUGACAGUGGCCCUAUGAUUUUAGCUACUUUUCAGCUAUCUUAGGGAUCUGCCACUUUCUUCUUAUCGACCCGGUCUCAUGCUCUGAGCUACUUUUUGGCUGCCCUGAGCCGUGGUUGAGUUAUUUCAGUAAUGCCCCAGAUCUGAAAAACCAUUAUGGUGGCUACUGAGUUAUUUGCCAAUUUCUUGCAAGGAUUCGGAUAAUCAUUUCCCUAUAGUCAGAACUUGAGAGGUGAUGAACCUACCAUUUAAUGGGUAACCAUGUCAGAAGAUGAGGAGACGAGUAUGCCUGUCAGAAUAUUGCACCCGCCAGAACCUAUGGUCACACGAAGAAGAAAUAUGCCCUUGCUCAUUCAGCAAAGGAUCUGGAUCAAGAAAACAGUAAUGAAGGAGCAAGACUGAUAAUUGUUGCAAGACCCACAUGGUGCAGAUACCCAGGACAGUCUGAGUCAGUACCGAUCACCAUCAAUAUCCUCCAAAGGGAUCUACUCAAUUUUGGUAAGGACCCCAUAUCCAGACAACCCGCUUAGUCAAACAACAUGUGCUCAAAUUUGUCAGUAUCAAAUAUCUGAGUCUGUCAAAUCAGACCAAGGGGCCAUUCAACAGUUGACCCCGGCAACUAUGGUAAAGCAUCACACAGCCUACUAUCCCCAUGGACAUACCGACAGAAUGGGAAAUCAGAAUGUGAAUAACAGUCUGGAAGCAGGUGCCCUUACUUAUGUGAGUCACCAAAGGAUAUCCUGUCUGGAACAAAAAAAUUCCUCCAGAGCCACCGUCAGUCAAGGAUGAGGAUAUUAUAAUAUAAGGUCGUACCCCUUCAUGCUGGUCACGACAAGCGACAGUCAAAUAUUUGGAACAGAUCUGAUACUCUAGACAGUGGAGCCAGUCAUGAUGACUAAGAAAUUCCUGCAAUGUUAGAAUCUAUCAGGAAACUGGUUAUGCCUCAAUUCACUAGUUGGAACCCGAAGGACCUACUAUUAGCUGAGAAACCCAAUGCAAGCAGUCAGAGCUUGGGUGUUCAUCAGGAAAAUCUGAUCCCCACUUCAUGGAAGAUUGUCAGUACACACACAACCAUCGAGAAUCACCCUCGGAUUUGUGAGAUAGACAUAUAUUUCAGUCAUGGUAAUCUCAGUAUAAGCGUGAAUAUGUGAGGUAAGAUUUGUAGAAAUGUGGAUACAGUGAAGCAAACCACCCCAGAGCAAGUCAGGUAAGUCAGAUGAAGAAUUCAGUGGGAACAAUCAAUAAAGGGAAAAAGGAUACCCGAGUUGGAAACGGUUUCCUUAAGGUCAGAUAUAUUCAUACUUGUUCCCUAAGCAACCAAAUCUCGAGGACGAGAUUCUUUAAGGGGGAAGGUUUGUCACAGCCUGAUUUUUGGCCCUUUAUUUUCUGAGAUUUUUCCUUGAGUUUUCUCUUUCCGUGGCUGUGUGGUCUGGAAAUUGAAGAAGAUGACCUCUUCUUUCUUUCCAGAGUGGCUUGUCAUCCCCAAAUCCAUCCCUAGACCUUGCCAUUUCCAUCUUGGACCAACCCUAAUAUUCUUUUUCUAGGAAAUAUUCCUUUUUCUGUUAAAGGAAUAAUCCUUUUUGCCCUAGGUUGUGAAGCAACCUAUAUUUUCAUCACUCCUAAAAUUCCCAAAUAUUUCUCAUAAAUUUUUUUGAGUCAUAUCUUCCUCAAAUGUGGCAAAAUAUUUCACUUGCCAUGUUUCCCAUCAUGGUCAAUUAAUUCAUUUCCUAUUUUGUCCUAAAUGGCACUUUUUGAAGCAAGUGCUAUUUAUCUUUGCCCAAUUGACUCCAAACUUCUUGGACAUGUUUUCAUGUCCAUAUCAUUACCACAUGCCAAAAUUCAACCUCAUUUUCCAAGUAAUUGUUUAUCAAUGAUUUUCCAAAGUUUCUGUCUAGAAAGAAACUUUGUGAAGGAGGUACAAGCUAGGCAUAUCCAAAUGAGUUGAAAUUUAUGCAUGAGCUCAAUAUCAUCAUAUCAUAGCUCUCCACCAAAUUUGAGCUCAUGUCAUGCCUCCAUGUGAGCUCAUCUUCAAUUCUUUGUUUCUGUCCAAAUUUUCAGUUUGGGAAGCAAGUAUAUUUUAUAUUGCUUCACUAUGGCUGAAAAUUUUCCAGGACCUUCUCCUAUCCAUAUAACAUAUCCCCACAGAUUUUGGGAUCAAUUCAUCAAGCCAUUAUUCCUCUAGAAUUCCUCAAGUUUCUGUCCAAAGGAGAUGUUUUGAAGCAAGUACCAUUUUGGUUUAUCCAAUUGUCAUGAAAUUUUUACAGCAUCUUCAUAUGGCCAGAUAACCUUGACAUGCCAAAUUUCAGCUCAAGUGGCUUCUUCAUUUGAGUGCAUCAUCAUAAUCUUGAUUCUGGAUCAUUUUUGUCAGUUGCAAAGCAAGUGUAUUACUCCUUGACCCAAAUCACUCCAAACUUCACAAAACUAUAGUCCUUCCUAUCCUAAACCCCCAGACAACUUAUUUGGCCCUCAACAUCUCUCUGUUGAUCACAUUGGCUUGAUCAAGUUUGCAACAGUAAACUUCAAAAGGGCAUUACCACUUAAACAAUUGGUUUUUGAUUGAGUAACCACCUCAGCUGCAACCUCCACUGGAAGGACUAAAUCCCAGACAUUGUUUGCUAGAUUAUUGCCCCUCUUCAUUCCAGUCUGGGCGGUAACCACCAUUUUGGCACGCACUGGACGCGUUCAGAGCGUCGUCUUGCUUGAGCCCCUCUCCUCCUCGCCGUCUCAGCGAGCACGGGCGUGUCUACUAGCUCAACCGCGUCGUUGUCGUCCUCCUGGACCUCUCUCCCCCCCGGAAACCUCCUCGCUGGCGCUCGUCGUCGCGCGCCCACGGGAAACCUGUAGCCGUCCGUCUCUGUUCGCACCGUGGCUUCUUCAUCCUCGUGUCCCCGAGUGCUGCUCGUCUCCAUGAGCCUCUACCACUUGUCCGCUUCCCCCUCGUCGCCUUCUCGCGCCUCCUCGUGACUUCUGCGGCCAGCAGAGCAUUGGCCGGAUCCCCGCGGCGACACCCAAGCUCGCCCUCCCUCGCCCGGCUAUAUAUAGCCAUCCCCGGCCUCAUCCAAGUGCAUUAGCAUCCUCCCCUCACUCCCAGGACCCCGCCUAGCCUCUCGCCCGAGCUCCAGAGCCCCUCCUCGCCUUCCAUUGCCGCCGCCUCGGCUCGCCUAAAUUGCCUCGACGCCCGUCUCACCCCCCCUUCAUUUCACCACCAGUAGGCCCCCACCACUCUGGCGCUCCUCCCCAUCCCCUCAUCGAGUCGCUGGAGCCCUUGUUGCUGCCAUUCCCAAGAUCCGCUACCGCCCCUGCUUUCGGUUGCUGUGCAUUUCUGCCAUCCCAGCCCUUCUUCAGCGCUAGUUUUCACCCUUGAUGGAUGCGGCUCCCCUUCUCGAGCACUCCGGUGGUCGGAGCUCAACUGGAGGCAGCCGGAGUCGCCUGGGCCAGCUCCGGCGCCGCGUGUUGUGCCUCUGCGUCGCGGGUGCGAACAAGGUAGAAGACGACCAUGGUCCAGGCGGGCCCCAUGCUGCCCCCGUCCCCACCAGUCAGCCGCACGGCGUUGACUCGCCCUACCACGUCGGAUUAAGUGGAAGCGUAAUUCCCAACUUUAUGCUUUCUUCUUCUGGAAACGUAUUCUCCGCUUCUUCAGUGAAGUUUACGCUUUCUUCUUCCAAAAACGUAUUCUUAGUAAUACGCUUUCUAUUUUUCAGCAGCCGGCCGAAUCUGCUAGUUUGUGAACGUUCACUGCUUUAGCGUAUUUUCUGCCUAAAAAGUGAACACCCACAACUUUUUGCUCGAGACUCCGAUUGAGGUGAACCCAAUGCCCAUGUCUUCAUCUCUUCGAGCCUGUUCUGUUUCCUUAAUUUUCACUAUGGUUUGCCAUACUGGAAAUGACCAUUUUUCCCUUGCCCCUAAUCAGCCCCCUCUGAGAGAGAAUCUUGUCCGGCGAAUCUUUUCGCGGCUUCACCGCACUUCUUCUCGGAGCUUUCUUCAUCCCCAGGCAAGCCACAACACCCACUUGCAUGAUGGCCAUGUAGUAGCCAUGGUUUUCAACUUGAACAUUUAAUAAUUGUCUGUUUGUUUAUCUGCAACUAUUAUCGUUGUUUCGGUACUACCUAUGGUUUCAUGUUCAUCUUCGUGCUAUGUUUUGAUGCAUCUGGUAAUCUUGUGUUCUUGCUAGCAUUACUUUCGUAUGUCAUGCUUAGUAGUAGUAGUACAUGUUGGUGUUGGAAGUGUGCUUCGGUGCAUGACUAUCGUCUGUUAUCGAGUACCGUGGUUAUGCAUGUUCCAUUGCAUCUAGCUGGUUACAUGAUUACUUGAGGUAUUAUCGCUAUAUUCAUUCAUGGUAUUGAUGCUAGUGGUUAUGCAUGCUUAUGAGUAGUGUUAUGCUUGUGAUAUUCAUGCUUGUCUGUAUGCCAUGCUCAUCUGGAUAAAUGAUUCACUGUUGUAUGCUUAAGGUUUAUGUUGCAUCCAUGUUUAUGUUGGUAUCAUGCAUUAUUGUUGCAGCAUGUUAUUUUCAUAUGACUCAGCUUAUUGCAUUCAAGUUUAACCGUACUUAAUUGAACUUGAACAACUGUUGGCUGAGUCAUGGUGCCACCAUAUCGAGCUGACCAUUGCAGCCACAUUUGCCUUUUAUGGGAAAGGUCCUAACUAGGUCUAUUGUCCUGCCUCUCGCCGGUGCCUCCAACGAGGGAAGGUUAUGCGCGGGCGCUACCAUGGCCGGGUAGGACGACAUAAGCCUUGUGUGCCCGUAGUUGUUGUAGCCGGCUUGUCCCCGUUUGGUACCAUUUAUUGUUUUGCCACGACGGUGGCCGCUGAUGCCUUUGUUAGCCACGGGGCCACCCAUGACUUAGUCCCGAGGGGAGUUGGUCGGAGUGGCCGGGAGAGUGUCAUGGCAGUAGAGCGAUUUUGUCGGAAUGCCAUUGGUCCACCCGAAUGGGAGCGUGAGGCCAUGGGUUCUGUGGUGUGGGUACAGUGUGCUACCUCUGCAGAGUGUGAGUUAAAUCUAUCGAUAGCCGCGCCUGCAGAUAUGGGCCAGUUCGUAGUUGGUCACACUAUGGGUCAACAGUAAUAAAAAUGAUGUUCUUAAUAAUAACCCCAGUUCGAUGAUGAAAGAAGUUGGUUGAUUUUUAUGUGAUCGUGAGAGGAUGACUGUGGUAUCGAGGAUACCGAGUUGUUGGAUAUUUGUGGUGUUAUGCGGGAAUCACGGGUAAAGGUCAAGCUCCUUGUGGUCAUGUAAUGAUUACUAUGAUAUUGUUUAUACCAAGCUUGAUUGGAUCCUAAGAUGAUCGUGUGAUGUCCGCGAUGGUAAGUGAUGCAUGUGAUGGUUACGAGGUAACCCAAGCAAAGUAAGUUGGUGCAUGAUAGUGUCAUCAUGUUGCAUGCUAGUUUCAUCUUGAUUGUAUGUUCAUGCCAUGCUCAUAUUGUUCUAGCGGAAUCAUGUUCAUUUUGUUUAUGCCAUAUAAUUGAUCUGAUAAUAUCAUGUUAAUCCUUGUUAACCUGUAAUUGCCAUGUUGUUGUUUGUCUUCAUUGCUCUUGGUUAUUAUGAGCUUGCAAGUACAUUCAAUGUACUGACUUGGCUGUCAUGCCAGUUUGCAGGUCAAGUCAGAUUUGAUUCCUUGUUUGCCAUGGAUUCCUUGUUUGCGAGCUAGGAUAAGCGUUCCAGCCAUAGUCCCUACGGAGUGGAGUUCACCACCGUCGUCGAUGGUCCGCUGCCAGUAGUUAUUCCGCUGCUUGCAUAGAGAAACCGUUGCAGGCGUAGUGUCACCAUGCCAAUGUAAUCCCCUUGUACCCAAAUAGAUUGUAAUAAAGAGCUGAUUUGUUCUAUGCUAAGCAGUGCCGUAUUCCAGAAGACUUCUCCUCGAUCUCUAGGCUGGAAUACGAGGCAUUCCGGUUUAUCUGAGUUGGGGUGCCACACUUUUGUCCCAUGAUCGUUGGUAGACCUUUCUUGAACACCGUUAAUGCUAAAAUAGAUUGUGAGAAACAAACCGUCGGUGUAAGUUUUGGUGAUGAGUCUCAUGAGUUUAAUUUUUCCAAGUUUAGUAGAAAACAUCAUAAGAAAGAAUUGUAUAGUAAUUAAGAAAUAAUUGGUCUUGCUUCUAUUGUCGUGCCUCCUACUGAUCCUCUGGAACAAUAUUUGCUACACCAUGAAAAUGAUAUGCAUCUGCAUGAAAGAAAUGAAAUAGAUAAACUUUUCUUUGAACAACGUCCUCUGCUUAAACACAAUUUGCCUGUUGAAACUCUAGGAGGUCCUCCUCCACCUAAAGGCGAUCCUGUGUUUGAAUUUAAACAAUUACCACACACUUUGAAAUAUGCUUAUCUUGACGAGAAAAAGAUAUAUCCUGGUAUUAUUAGUGCUAACCUUUCAGAACAUGAAGAUGAAAGAUUAUUGAAGGUUCUGAAGAAGCACCGAGCUGCCAUUGGAUAUACUCUUGAUGAUUUAAAGGGCAUUAGUCCCACUCUCUGUCAGCACAAGAACCUGAUGCCAAACCCGUUGUUGAUCACCAACGACGUUUAAAUCCUAAAAUGAAAGAAGUGGUAAGAACUGAAAUACUGAAGCUUCUGGAGGCAGGUAUAAUCUAUCCUAUAGUUGAUAGUAGAUGGGUAAGUCUUGUUCAUUGUGUCCCUAAGAAGGGAGGUAUUGUUGUUGUUCCUAAUGAUAAAAUGAACUUAUUUCACAAAGAAUUGUCACUGGUUAUAGAAUGGUAAUCGAUUUUAGAAAAUUAAAUAAAGCAACUAGAAAAGAUCAUUACCGUUUACCUUUUAUUGAUCAAAUGAUAGAAAGACUAUCAAAGCACACACAUUUUUGUUUCCUUGAUGGAUAUUCUAUUUUUUUCUCAAAUACAUGUUUCACAACCUGAUCAAGAGAAAACCACCUUUACUUGUCCUUUCGGAACUUAUGCUUAUAGACGUAUGCCUUUUGGUUUAUGCAAUGCACCUGCUACCUUUCAAAGAUGUAUGACUGCUAUAUUCUCUGACUUUUGCAUGGAUGAUUUUUUCCAUUUAUGGAACUUCUUUUGAUGAUUGCUUAAGCAACCUUGAUUGAGUUUUGCAGAGAUGCGAGCAAAAUAAUCUUGUCUUGAAUUGGGAGAAGUGCCACUUUAUGGUUAAUGGAAGUAUUGUCUUGGGACAUAAAAUUUCUGAAUGAGGUAUUGAAGUGGAUAAAGCUAAGGUUGAUGCAAUUGAGAAAAUGACAUGUCCCAAAGAUAUCAAAGGUAUUCGUAGUUUCCUAGGUCAUGCUAGUUUCUAUAGAAGACUUACUAAAGGCUUCUCUAAAAUUUCUAGGCCUCUUACAAAUCUUUUACAAAAGGAUGUUCCAUUUAUUUUUGAUGAUGAUUGUGUAGAAGGCUUUGAAACACUUAAGAAAGCCUUAAUUUCUGCACCUAUUGUUCAACCACCGUAUUGGAACUUUCCUUUUGAAAUUAUGUGUGAUGCUAGUGAUUAUGUUGUUAGUGCUGUUCUAGGACAAAGAGUCGAUAAGAAAUUAAAUGUUAUUCAUUAUGCUAGUAAAACUCUAGACAGUGCCCAACGCAGUUAUGCUACUACUGAAAAAUAAUUUUUAGUAGUCGUGUUUGCUUGUGAUAAAUUUAGAUCUUACAUUGUUGAUUCUAAAGUGACUGGUCACACCGAUCAUGCUGCUAUAAAAUAUCUUAUGGAUAAGAAAGAUGCUAAACCUAGACUCAUUAGGUGGGUUCUUUUGCUACAAGAAUUUGACUUACAUAUCACUGAUAGAAGGGGAGCUGAGAACCCUGUGGCUGAUAACUUGUCUAGGUUAGAAAAUAUUCUUGAUGACCCACAACCUAUUAAUGAUAGUUUUCCUGGUGAACAAUUAGCUACAAUAAAUGUUUCUCAUAACACUCUUUGGUUUGCUGACUAUGCUAAUUAUAUUGUUGCUAAAUACAUCCCACCUAGCUUCACAUACCAACAAAAGAAAAAAAAUCUUCUAUGAUUUAAGACAUUACUUUUGGGAUGAUCCACAUCUUUAUAAAGAAGGAGUAGAUGGUAUUAUUAGACAUUGUGCACCUGAGCAUGAACAAAGAUAAAUCCUACGGAAAUGUCUCUCCGAAGCUUAUGGAGGGCAUCAUGCGGGAGAUAGAACUGCUCACAAGGUAUUACAAUCUGGUUUUUAUUGGCAUACUCUCUUCAAUGAUUCCCAUAAGUUUGUUUUAUCUUAUGAUGAAUGUCAAAGAAUUGGAAAUAUUGGUAAGCGUCAAGAAAUGCCUAUGAACUAUUGAUUUGUUGUUGAACCAUUUGAUGUUUGGGGAUUUGCUUACAUGGGACCUUUUCCUUCCUCUAAUGGGUAUAAUCAUAUUUUGGUUGUUGUUGAUUAUGUCACUAAGUGGGUAGAAGCUAUUCCAACUAGUAGUGAUGAUCACAACACCUCUAUUAAAAUGCUUAAGGAAGUCAUUUUCCCAAGGUUUGGAGUCCCUAGAUAUUUAAUCACUGAUGGUAGUUCACAUUUAUUCAUGGUGCUUUCUGUAAAAUGCUUGCAAUAUGAUGUUAACCAUAGAAUUGCAUCACCCUAUCAUCCUCAGUCUAGUGGUCAAGUUGAACUUAGCAAUAGAGAAAUAAAGUUAAUAUUACAAAAACUGUCAAUAGGUCCCGAAAGAAUUGGUCUAAGAAAUUAGAUGAUGCACUUUGGGCUUACAGAACAACAUAUAAAAAUCCUAUGGGUAUGUCUCCGUAUAAAAUGCUUUAUGGAAAAGCUUGUCAUUUGCCUCUUGAGUUAGAACAUAAAGCUUAUUGGGUAAUUAAAGAACUCAACUAUGAUUUCAACCUUGCCGGUAAAAAGAGGUUAUUUGAUAUUAGCUCACUAUAGGAAUGGAGAACCCAAGCUUAUGAAAAUGCCAAGUUAUUUAAAGAAAAAGUUAAAAGAUGGCAUGAUAAAAGAAUCCAAAAGCAUGAGUUCAAGGUUGGAGAAUAUGUUCUUUUGUACAACUCUCGUUUCAGAUUCUUUGCAGCAAAACUCCUCUCCAAAUGGGAAGGACCCUAUUAUCAAGGAGGUUUAUCGAUUUGGAGCCAUCAAAAUAAAUAAUGCUGAAGGUACUAACCCAAAGGUUGUUAUUGGGCAACGAAUAAAACAUUAUAUCUUAGGUACGCCCAUUAAUGUUGAAACCAAUAUUAUCCAAACUAUGACACCGGAAGAACACAGAAAAGAGAAACCUUCCUGAACACUCCAGAAUCAUGAAAAAGAGGAGCUGCGUGAUACGGUAAGUAAAUGGACUUAAAAAUCCGCAAAAAUAUUUUAUGUCCGUUUUGGAAUAUAACAAAAAUUAGGAAAAUAGGAAAGUACCGGGAAGGCAACCCUGGUGGGCACAAGACACCAGGGCGCGCCAGGCCCCCUGGCAUGCCCAGGUGGGUUGUGCCCACCUCGGUUACCUCCGUACUCCAUUUUUCUUCUGUUUGCUUAUUUCCCAAGAUAAAAAAUCUUUAUAUAUCACUGAUAACCCACAAGUAUAGGGGAUCUCAAUAGUUUUCGAGGGUGGAGUAUUCAACCCAAAUUUAUUGAUUCGACACAAGGGGAGCCAAAGAAUAUUUGCAAGUAUUAGCACCUGAGUUGUCAAUUCAACCACACCUGGAGAUUAAUUAUCUGUAGCAAAGUGAUUAGUAGCAAAGCAGUGUGAUAGUUUUGAUACUAGUAGCAACAACAAUAGUAACGGUAACAGUGAUAGCAAUGAUUUUGUAGCAAGUGCAAUAGUAACAGUAGCAGUAGUAACUUAGCAAGAACAAUAUGAGAGAAAGUCGUAGGCAUUGGAUCGGUGAAUUCAUUGGAUGAUAUUCAUCAUAUAACAGUCAUAACCUAGGGCGAUACAGCACUAGCUCCAGUUCAUAAAUAUAAUGUAGGCAUGUAUUCUGUAAAUAGUCAUACAUGCUUAUGGAAAGAACUUGCAUGACAUCUUUUGUCCUACCCUCCCAUGGCAGCGGGGUCCUAUUGGAAACUAAGGGAUAUUAAGGCCUCCUUUUAAUAGAGAACCGGAAAAAAGCAUUAACACACGAUGAAUAGACGAACUUCUCAAACUACGGUCAUCACCGGGAAGUGUCCCGACUUCAGUCACUCCGUCUUUGCCGGAUCAUAACACGUAGUAGGUGACUAUAACUUGCAAGAUCGGAUCUAGAACAUAGAUAUAAUGGUGAUAACAUAAACGGUUCAAAUCUAAAAUCAUGGCACCCGAGCCCAAAGUGACAAGCAUUAAGCAUGGCAAAGUCAUAGCAAUAUCAAUCUCAGAACAUAAUGGAUACUAGGGAUCAAACCCUAACAAAACUAACUCGAUUACAUGAUGAAUCUCAUCCAACUCCUCACCGACCAGCGCGCCUACAAAGGAAUUACUCACUCCCGAUGGGGAGCAUCAUGGAACUGGCAAUGGAGAAGGGUUGGUGAUGAUGAUGAUCGAAGAUCCCCCUCUCUGGAGCCCCAAAUGGACUCCGGAUCUGGCCUCCCGAUGAAGAACAGGAGGUGGCGACGGCUCCAUCUCGUGAAACGCGAUAAUUUUUUCUCCCUGAUUUUUUUCAAAUAUGUGAUUUUAUAGUAUCAUGGUUGGAGUCUGCGGGGCCACCAGGUGGGGACAACCCACCUGGGCGCGCCUGGGGGGGGGGGGGCAGCACACCCUGGUGGGUUGUGCCCACCCAGGUGCCCCCCUCCGGUGGUUCUCGGCUCUAGAAAUUCUCUUUUAUUAUAUCAAAAUUCCUCGCAAAGUUUCGUUCCAAUCCGAGAACUUUUAUUUCUGCACAAAGAACAACACCAUGGUAGUUCUGCUGAAAACAGCGUCAGUCCGGGUUAAUUUCAUUCAAAUCAUGCAAAUUAGAGUCCAAAACAAUAGGAAAAGCGUUAGGAAAAGUAGAUAUGAUGGAGAUGUAUCAACUCCCCCAAGCUUAAACCUUUGCUUGUCCUUAAGCAAUUCAGUUGAUAAACUGAAAGUGAAAAAGAAAAAAAUUAUGAACUCUUUUGCUCUUGUUACAUAAAUAAGCUUAAGUAGCACCCAAGUUUUCAGCAAAGAUUAUAAUUAACCAUAUCGACAAUAACUCUUAAAAAAUAUAUUAACUCAUAUCAAUGACAUAAUCAACUAGCGAGCAAUAAUAAGAUAUCUCAAACUACAACACUUUGUCAAAACAACCAUGAUAUAAUAUGACAAUAGUGGUAUCUCGCUAUCCCUUUCCGAGACUGCAAAACAUAAAUGCAGAGAAGAUCAAAAGUUCAAGCAGUGACUAAACAUUGUAAUUCAUGGUAGAAAAGAUCCAGUCAUGAUGCACCCAGCAUUAGCUAUACACAAUGCAUGAGGAUGACAAUAGUGCUCUCAGGUUCUGGCUCUUAUUUGAGAAGGUGAUGACACAACAUAAAAGUAAAUAGAUAGUCCCUUCACAGAGGGAAGCAGUGAUUUGCAGAGGUGCCAGAGCUCAAGUUCUUAAAACAAAGGUAAAUGAAAUUUGAGAAAUGCACCCUUCUUGUUUACUUCUCGACCAUUAGUUAUCGGUAUCUUACAUGCUAAACACAUUAGUGGCGGUUCCCAAGCGAUAAAAGUAAAGGUUUACUCCCCCUCCACCAACAAUCACACUCCACGACUUGUCCGAAACAACGGGUGCCGUCCAUACCAACAACAGUCCCUGGGGAGUUUUGUUUAAUUAUUUGCAAUUUGAGUUCGGGACUGGGAAUCCCUAUUACCGCCCCUCUCGUGCAAGGACGAGUGAAUAAAAACUCAUGUAAGAAUAACCCGCUUAGCAUGGAAGAUACUGACUACCUCUAGUCGCUCUAUGAACAAUUCAGGCACACAAAAAGGAUAUUUACUUGAAGUUUUUAGAGGUGGCACAUGCAAAUUUACUUAGGACGGCAGGGUAAUACCGCAUAUAGGUAGGUAUGCUGGAACCAUCUAGAAUAACUUGGGUUUCAUGGUUUUGAUGCACAAGCAGAAUUCUCACUUAGUAUAUGCGAAGGUUAGCAAAUAGGUUGAGAAGCGGCCAGCUAGAGAGGGAAAACGAUCAUGAACAUGUGAAAGAUCGUGGAUGUCGCCUAGAGGGGGGUGAAUAGGCGCUUUAAAAUAAUUUCGGUUUAGGCUUGAACAAAUGUGGAAAAAACCUAACUGUUAAUUUGUAAAGCACAAAACCUACAACAACUAGGCUCACCUAUGUGCACCCACAACUUAUGCUAAGCAAGAUAAACAACUAAGUGAUAGCAAGAUAUAUGACAAGAAACAAUAUGGCUAUCACAAAGUAAAGUGCAUAAGUAAAGGGCUCUGGCACGAGAUAACUGAGGCACGUGGAGACGAUGAUAUAUCCCGAAGUUCACACCCUUGCGGAUGCUAAUAUCCUUUUGGAGCGGUGUGGAGGCACAAUGCUCCCCAAGAAGCCACUAGGGCCAUCGCAAUCUCCUCACGCCUCGCACAAUGCAAGAUGUCAUGAUUCCACUAAGGGACCCUUGAGGGCGGUCACCGAACCCGUAGAAAUGGCAACCCUUGGGGGCAGUCACCGAACCCGUACACUUUGGCAACCCUAGGGGGAGGUCACCGGUACCCGUCAAAUUGCUCGGGGCGAUCUCCACAACCUAAUUGGAGACCCCGACGCUUGCCCGGAGAUUUACACCACAAUGAUUGAGCUCCGAACACCACCAACCGUCUAGGGCACCCAAGCACCCAAGAGGAACAAGCUCAAGGGUACCAAGCACCCAAGAGUAAUAAGCUUCUCAACUUGUAACUUCCACGUAUCACCGUGGAGAACUCAACCGAUGCACCAAAUUCAAUGGCAAGGGCACACGGAGUGCCCAAGUCCUUCUCUCCCAAAUCCCACCAAAGCAACUAAUGCUAGGGAGGAAAAUUACAGGAAGAACAAGAAGGAGAACACCAAGAACUCCAAGAUCUAGAUCCAAGGGGUCCCGCUCACAUAGAGGAGAAAGUGAUUGGUGGAAAUGUGGAUCUAGAUCUCCUCUCUCCAUUUCCCCCAAAACUAGCAAGAAUCAACGGAGGGAUUGAGAGAUAGCAAGCUCUAAGAAGGUCAACAAUGGGGGAAGAACACGAGCUCAAGAGACAGGGAACCAUUGGGGAAGAAGACCCCCUUAAAUAGGUGUCGGUGGGAAAGACACCUAUGGGAUCACAAGAAUCCCUACUACGGUUGCGAGGCGUGGGGCUGUGAGAAGAGCAAGAUCAGCAGUCAGCACCAGGAUCGUUUACCCAGGUUCUGGUCGCGAGGAUGUGUAAAACCCUAGUCCUGCUUUGGUGGAUGUAUUGAGUGUUCUUGAGCUCCUAAACUAGCUACCUUGGCUGCGUGGUUCAAAAGAGCUGAAUCCCUCUCCAGUACGCCAUGGGCCUCCUUUUGUAGUUGAAAGGGGCUGCUACAGUGGCACACAGGAGGUGGAAAAGGCCUACAGUGCUAUGAGCUUAUCGCUUGUGUUACAGGACAAGAUGCAUUUAAUGCGUAGCUUAGGUGUCCUCUUGCUUUAUCGGGGACAGGAGCGAGGUCCGUCCCGUCCGUCGCCGCUCCUCCUCACUUCGACAUGCGCGCUGGCCAGCGAUGCAUGCGGCGCCAUGUAGGCAGGCAAGCAGCUGAGGUGGCGCGGUGGUGGAGCCUCCAUGAAGAUCUGCAUGCCGCCACACAGGCGUGUGCUGAGUUGGCCUGGAAGCUGCAUGUUGCCUUGCAGGUGCCUGCCCAGCUGGUUGGGCUGGCAGCUGCAUGUGAACGGCGGUGGAGACUUGGUUGGCGUGGGCCUGGCAGUGGCCCCGCUGACGCCCUUGGCAAGGGCCUUGCCGGGUGGCCCGGCAAGGGUCUUGCCGUGGCGCGCUGUCGUGCCGGGGGUCUUGCGGGUUUCCUCGGCAAGGAUCUUGUCGAGGAUCGUUGCCUUCCAAUCUUCAUCUGAUCUUGAAUAUUCUCUGUCUUCACAAAGACCUGCAUGCCACCACGGAGGUGCCUCCCGAGCCCUGGCCCAAUCGUAGCUGAUGGUGUUGGAGACCAUGGGUUCGAGGGUGGCUCACUCCGCUAGUGUGGGCGAGCUGUCCCGGCAAGACCCUUGCCGGGGAAACCUGCUUCGUCCAUCUGCUCCCUGUGGUCUCGGUCUCUGGCGUUGCGCUGAUUAUCUUGCGGCUUCGCCUCCCCCCUUUUGCCCUGCUAAGUGUGGCUUCGGCCCGUGGCUCUGACUGUCCGUGCACAAGUAAGGGGUACAAAGGAGUGCCCCUACUUUAGUACACCAACAGGAGCCCCCGAGCCUGGCCCACACAUAGGCGCAACGCAUUGUUGGGCCAGGCCCAAAACGGUGCGCGGGAAGGCGGGGCAGUUUUUACCGCAGUAACUGCUUUCAUCCGUUGCACUUUCCCAGGAGCUACGUGACGUGGGGGAGGUCAUGCGUGACGUGGGGGCAUGCGCGGGGCAGUUUCCGCAUGCAUGCGUCGUAUCCCGCGCCUUCCCCGUAAAAGGGAAUAACCGCGGGCGCGCUGCUCACUUUACCCCUUCCCUGCGUCUUUUCCAAUCUUGGAACCGCCGCCCCCUUUCUUCCUCCUUCUCGAGCCCCCCGUCUUCGUCCACCAUCGAUGCGCCUCCAUCAUCCUCUGCCCUCUUGCCUCUCGUAGCUGCCAUGGCGCCCAAAUCCACCAAAGGCAAGGGAGUGGCCAAAGAUGUCGGGGCGACGGAGCAGCCGGAGAGCGAGCUGGUGGCGCGAUGGGCGCAGUUCGCCUACUUCCACUCGAUGGUCGACAUGUUCGAGCUCCGGGAGUCCUUCAAAUCUCUAGGGGGGGUGUGAAGACGGGGGGAGAAACGACGGGGCACCCAGCCAUGCGCGUCAUCCCCGCCAACUGCGCCGAGGCCGCCCCAAAUCGGUACCCCUUCUUUGUCGACUACUUCUCUUGCGGGCUCUGUCCCCCCUUCUCUGAUUUCUUCAAUGAUGUUAUGCACACCUACGGCUUCUGCCUUCUGGAUUUCACUCUGAAUGUCGUGGUGUGCAUGACUCUCUUCGUGCACCUCUGCGAAGGCUUCGCUGGGGUGCACCCCAACACGGCGCUCUUUCGCCACUACUUCUCCCCUCGAAUCCAAGCGGGGGGCGCCAUCUCCGGUUGCGUCGCCUGGAUCUCGAAGGCCAAGGGGAUGUACCCGGAGGGCGCCAUGAAGGAGAGGUGGGAAGAGUGGCGGGGCCGGUGGUGCUGGAUUGAGGAGGAGGACUCGCCAACAUUCUGCGAGGUUCGCCGGGAGCCGCCGGUUCGCGGAAAUGAUUGGGGCGACGUCGACGCCAAUGACGAGAAGCUCACGAUUGCCACCACCAGGAUCCUUCGGCUCACUGAGGCCGGGCUCACCCUCGAAAUGAUUGGGGCGGACUUCAUCCGCCGCCGAAUUGCUCCUCUUCACAACAAGGGGAGGCCGACCUGGCUUUUUACGAAUACUGCUGACAUCAUGAGGCUCCACCCCGGCCUCGACCACAACCUGAUGGUGCUAAGGCACGCCCAUCUCUGCCAACGGAUCUUCCAGCUCGAGGUCAAAAAAGAUGGUGAUGUUGAGCGGUCUGGCAAGGCUGCGAGGGCUUCCGCGAAGGCCGGCAAGGUUGCCAAAGAGCCUGUUUUCAAGUUGUCGGCGGGAGUGGUCCCGCUGUGCAACAAUUCUCGCCGGUCCGACAUCAUCGCCAUGAUGCCAGACUUCAAUGCGCACGGCCUUGACCCGAGCUGGGUCGAGCUGGACGAGCUCCAGGUGCAGGAAUUCUUCGACACCUUGCACGAGGGGUACGUCACCGCCGAGCCGUGGCUCAUCCAGGAUACUUCCCAGGCGGAGCUGGACUGCAUCACCGCCAGGGUGGCAGAGGCGGAGCUCGCCAAGGAGGCCUACAGCGCCGGCGGCGUGGAGGACAAGGCCGUGGCGAAAGAGGAGGAAGAAGAGCUUGCCCAAUGGGCGGCGGCCGCUGGGGAGGCUAGCGGCGCCGGCACCGGGGCUCCCCUCGUCGAGGAUGCGGUCGACGAGUCAUCGUCGGAGGAGGACGAGGGGGAGGAGACCGCGACCGCCGACCCUCCAGUCACUGGAAGAGGGCGAGUCCUGCGGCGGGCCACCUCCGAUGAGCCGGUCCGUCCCGGCCGUCCCGCGCAGCUGCGGCAGGCCCAGGAGACGUCUGCACGCCAGACGAGGGUUGUGGCGGCAAAGAAGGCAGUGAAGGCCGUGGUGGCAAAGAAGAAGGCAUCCGCUUGUUCGUCGUCCAAGCGUGCCGGGACGCCACCGCCUCCUCCUCGCUGGCAGACGUUGGUGCGGGGAUCGCUUUUGACUUUGGACCCCUCAGCCCGGAGAGGAAGAGGAAAGCAGCAGAGGAGGAGGAGGAGGAGGAGGAGGAAGUGUAAGCUCUGCUUUUCCCCCUCCUUUUCUUUUUUCGUUUUCUCCAUUUCCUCAAAUGGUGCCGCCUAUUCUGAAUCAUCUUCAUCCCGUAGGGACGUGGAGACGCUGGCCCAAAGGGCGAAGAGGGCCAGGAUUUCGACGACCGGCCAGCCCCCGGCAGGCACCUCCGGCACGCUGCUGGUGGUGUUGAGCAGCCCGGACAGCAGCCCCCGGCCCAGCCCCCAGUGUGAGUCCAUUACCCGUCCUUCGUCGACAUGCGCUAGGGGUACAAUACAUUGGUACUGACCAUGCUGUGGAUGUAGGAGGGGAGCAUCAGCAAGGGGAGCCAUAGAGGGCUUCUCCCAACGCGCCGCUCCCAUCGACCACGCCGCCCCGAGGGGCAUCCCCGGCAAGGGCACCAAGCACCGAGCCCAUGCACACGGAGGAGGAGGAGGAGAAUGCGGGCGCCGGUGGCUUCGCCUCGGCGCUGGACUUUGGCGGAGAGAGGACUUCUGCUUCUCAGCUUGGCGCGGGUAAGCCACUUGCUUUCCGUUUCUGCUUGCAUUCUUUCUUUCUUCUUUUUUUACUGGGCUUUGAUCUUGGCCCCACCCUAUCCCCUUCUUGGCAUUCAGACUUCCCCUCGAUGGACCCAGAGGACGUUGAUACCGUCAUCGAGGAUGUCGCCGAGGAUGCCGCGGCGCAGGCCGAGAAGAUCGCCGCCGAGGAGAGCGCCAAGGGCGCUGCUGAGGACGCUGCCAAGGGGCCCGCCGGGGAGCCCGGCAAGGAACCUGCCGGGAAGGCCGGCAAGGCCGAUGUCGAGGAGGAGGUGGUUGAUGACCAACCCUCCUCCUCCGUCGCCUCCGGCUCCGGCAGGUAUCUGAGGGUGAGCGAUGACCUCUUCGUCCAUCUUCUGGGCGCGUCGAGCACCAGGGCUCCCAUUGAGGGAGAGGUGUUCGACGAUGAGGUGCUUGCCGCUGCCGGGCUCGAGGUCGUCGACGAGCCGAGCGUUGGUGGUGACGGCUCCUAGGAGGAGGAGCUGCUACAGGCCAUGGGCGCCAGCUUCCGGAAGCUCCAGGCGCUCCACCACGCCCGUUUGGACAAGGCCAAGUCCAGGACAGUGGUGGGGGAGACGGCGGAGGCGGACCUCCAGGAGCGCGUCACCGAGGCGCAUGACUGGUUCCGCUAGGCUCAAGACAAGCUGAAGGCCGCCCAGGGCGAGCUGGCCAAGCGUGACAUGGAGCUCACCAUGAAGCUGGCCGACGUCGAGAAGACCCAAGAGACGACGAGAAACUUGGCCGCCACUGCCAAAGCCGCCCGGACCCAGCACAAGGCCGCACUAAACUCCCAGGAGGAGGACCUUGCCGCGCGCGAGGAGAAGCUCUCCGCCACGCUCCGCGGCAAGGAUGAAGAGGUGGAGAAGCUUGCCGCGGCAUGGACCCAGGAGCUGGAGCUCCAGCACAAGGAGGCGCUCGUCGACCAGGCCCUGGCCCACGACAACAGGGUGAAGGAGUUGGAGGCGGAGCGGAAUGAGACGAAGGAGCAAACUCUGAAGCUGUCCAAGGAGAAGGACAUGCUCAAUAGCGCCCUGGCAGAGGCGCAUGGCGUGGCCGUCAGCAGGGAGCUCUCCGAGGCCAACAACUCCAUCAGAGACCUCAGGCUGAGGCUAGAGGGUCUUGAUAAGAUACUGGCGGAGGCCAAGGUCCGAGAGGGGACCCUGACCAAGGACCUGGAGACCGAGAAGCAGCUACGGAGGAACGAGGCCGCCAACCUUAACGACCAUGUGGAGGGCGAGAAGCAUUGGCUCUAACGCCUUGCCGUCUUUGCGAACUCGGCCACCAUGCAGCUGGCCACCAUGGGGAUGUCGGACGUGAGGUACGCCCCGGAGACGAGCCUGAGCCCCAACGCCAACCUGACCCUGUUCUUUGAGAGUGUCGUCGGUGCCCUGGAGCGGCUUCACUCCAACCAGGCGGCCUCCCUGGCAGAGGAGUCCCGGAUGCUCUGCCGGGGCGCCAUGACCAAGGUGCUUGCCAAGAUAGCGUACUGGCAUCCUGACCUCGACUUCGAAGCUACGCUAAAGAGCUUGUCGGAGGAUGUAGACAUCACGGCGCUCAAGGAGCGUAUCAAGCCCAUCAUCAGCCGCAUCAAUGGAAUCAAGAGGUUGGAGGGCCAACGCCAGGACUAGGCACCCCGUUUCUUAUCGCCGCUACAGGUCCAUGACGAAGACAAUUGCUAUCUUUAGUUAGAACCGCAGCGGCAAUUUCUGUAAUAUAAAUCUACAGUACUUCUGACAUUACGCAUGUUAUUUUCCCGUUCGAUUUUCCUUUGUAUGUCCAUCCUACGUUAACUGGGUAGGCUUGCCGGCUCGUAAACCCAGGGCGACGUCUUGAGGACAGAUCCCCAUUGGCCUGCUGGGUGUGCUUGCUGCCGGGCAAACCACCUUAUCGCCCUUGAUGUGGCCGCUCGAACUGUUGAGCUUGACUCGAGUCAGAGUCGAGAGCGUUGCUAAUUGCGAAAGGCCGCCCUACCGCUCUCGACGCGGCCGCUUGAGCUAUUGAGCGGACUCGAAACAGAACAAGGGCGUUGCCAAUUGCGGGAGGGCCCCUCUGCGUAUAGGUUUUCCAUAAAUAGGCAGAAUCUCCGAGGACGAUAACCUUAUAUUAGGGAGGAAAGUUUAAAGUUUGGCAUGACUUAGCUUUUUCGUCGCCGCCCUGGCAUCCUUCGUGCUUGCAGGCAGCACGGCUCUCUUGGCCGCCUUCUCCUCUGGCGACCACUACCGUGGGAAACCACUAGGCCGGAUGUUAAACCAGAUUCUCACAGCUGCACGUGCCCCCUACCUGGCGUGCCAAAGAUGUCGGUGGGGAACAACACCUAUGGGAUCACAAGAAUCCCUACUACGGUUGCGGGGCGUGGGGCUGUGAGAGGAGCAGGAUUAGCAGUCAGCACCAGGAUCGUUUACCCAGGUUCGGGCCACGAGGAUGCGUAAAACCCUAGUCCUGCUUUGGUGGAUGUAUUGAGUGUUCUUGAGCUCCUGAACUAGAUACCUUGGCUGCGUGGUUCAAAAGAGCCGAAUCCCUCUCCUGUACGCCAUGGGCCUCCUUUUAUAGUUGAAAGGGGCUGCUACAGUGGCACACAGGAGGUGGAAAAGGCCUACAGUGCUACGAGCUUAUCGCUUGUAUUACAGGACAAGACGCAUUUAAUGCAUAGCUUAGGUGUCCUCUUGCUUUAUCGGGGACGGGAGCGAGGUCCGUCCCGUCCGUCGCCGCUCCUCCUUGCUUUGACACACGCCCUGGCCAUCGAUGCAUGCGGCGCCAUGUAGGCAGGCAAGCAGCUGAGGUGGCGCGGUGGUGGAGCCUCCAUGAGGAUCUGCAUGCCACCACGCAGGCAUGUGCUGAGUUGGCCUGGAAGCUGCAUGUUGCCACGCAGGUGCCUGCCCAGCUGGUUGGGCUGGCAACUGCAUGUGAACGGCGGUGGAGACUUGGUUGGCGCGGGCCUGGCAGUGGCCCCGCUGACGCCCUUGGCAAGGGCCUUGCCGGGUGGCCCGGCAAGGGUCUUGCCGUGGCGCGCUGUCGUCCCCGGCAAGGAUCUUGCUGGGGGUCUUGCGGGUUUCCUCGGCAAGGAUCUUGUCGAGGAUUGUUGCCUUCCAAUCUUCAUCAGAUCUUGAAUAUUCUCUGUCUUCACAAAGAUCUGCAUGCCACCAUGGAGGUGCCUCCCGAGCCCUGUCCCAAUUGUAGCUAAUGGUGUUGGAGACCGUGGGAUCGAGGGUGGCUCACUCCGCUGGUGUGGGCUAGCUGCCCCGGCAAGGGUCUUGCCGGGGAAACCUACUUCGUCCAUCUGCUCCCUAUGGUCUCAGUAUCCGGCGUUGUGCUGAUUAUCUUGCGGCUUCGCCUCCCCCCUUUUGCCCUGCUAAGUGUGGCUUCGACCCAUGGCUCUGACUGCCCGCGCACAAGUAAGGGGUACAAAGGAGUGCCCCUACUUUAGUACACCGACAAUAGGUCCCCACGAAUCUGCCCGUUAUGUGUAGAAAACUGUAGGACCGGUACAACCGGUGCACGAACCAGCACAACCUAUCAAAGUAGAGGAAAAACCAACCUCUAGGAAAAAGCCCUAAGAAGUACAAUAGCCCGGGGAACCGGUAGUACCGGUAAAACUAAACUAACCGGUACAACCGGUCAACAACCGCCCAAGAACCGCUCCAAAACAGAAACUAGUCCGGUGGUAGAGCGGUACAUGGCCGGUACAACCUUCGGACCAAUUCUGGAGCGGUACAACCGCUCCAAACAAUGGUUGUACCAGUCAACCGGUACAACCUCUCUGUAAAACAGGUAAGAUCAAAACAGCCACAACUUUCGCAUACGAGCUCCGAAUUCGACGAAAUCAAGUUUGUUGGAAAACUAAAGACAAGAGCAAACAAAAUCUUGAUAGAAAUAUCAAGAAGUAGCAAUUGAGAAAAUAGCCAAAGUAAAAUGGUGAGAACCCUUUCUCAAUAAAGACUGGUAAAAACUCCAACACCGAAAACAAAGAAGAAGAUGCAUAGGAAAUCGGUUUUCGAUGAACUCAAGCUUGUCAUGAAGGUGACCAUAAGCUCAAAAUCUCACAAGGAGAAGAACAAAAUAAGAAACAAGAGAGAAGACUCAAGGAUGCAAUGGUUUGAGCUCUCGACGAACGAUACGAUCAAGCUACUCACUAGAGAGGCCCCCUUGAUAGUACGACAAUCGAUCCUACAACCCGGUCUCCCAACAACCACUAUGAGACUGGUAAAAUAGAAAACCUAUCAAGGGCAAACCUUUCCCUUGCACAUAGUCCACUUGAGCUAGAUGAUGACAAUCUUGACUUCCGCAAGUUGGACCACCUUUCUUGAUUGUGUUCUCUCGAUGAAGACUAGUUGAUUGCUGCCCCAUACUCCACUAUGAGUGAGCCACUCUUCAACAUAUCUUCACAAUUCAAUUGACACCACAAUGAAAGGCAAGCUUCAAGAUUGAUUGCUCCCCCAUACUCCAUUAUGGGUGAGCCACUCUUCGUGUUGCUCCACUUGAACUUGCACACCGCAACCUAACCCCACAAUGAACUCUCACGAAUACCAUGGGUUAGCAAACAAAGCGUAAUGGACAAUGCUUACCAUACCAUGGGAUCACCUGAUCCCUUAGUACAUCUUGUAUGCUUCGUGUGUUGAAUCUUUCCAACUCUCUUCAUUUGGAUGAUGUCUUGAAGGUAGACAUGAAUGAUCACACAAUCUUCUUCUUCAAGACAUGCUUGCAAUAAGCUCAACACUCACAUGACCAAUCAUUGGAUAAUUCCUUAAUAGCACCUUGGUCAACUCAUAAAGUCCUUGAAACCAACACAUGGACUUCAAGAAAAGCCUAUGGACAAAUUCUUCAAACAUAACUCAAUGCAACCAUUAGUCCAUAGAGAAUGUCAUCAAUUACCAAAACCACACAUGGGGGCACCGCAUGUCUUUUCAAUCUCCCCCAUUUUGGUAAUUGAUGACAAUCACUUUCAAAAGAGUUUAUAUAAGGAAUUAUGCAUCACCAUGCAAUGCAACAACCAAUGAUGCAUGAGUAUGAGAUGCAAAUGCUUAGGAACAAAACCAAAGCAAGGAGAAAACUCUGAAGACUUCUCCACAAAACUCUUUGAAACUUCUCCCCAUUGGCAUCGAUUGCCAAAAUGGGCGAAAAGCUUAGAAUACCAAUAUAAAAAGUGUUCCUCCAAAAAUUGUGUAUUUCUCAACAAGAGAGUGGAAUGCCAUACACAUAUCCAAAGGUAAUACUUGGAGGAAGACCAACUAUAUUGAGGCACAAAGAUUGCUAAAGAAAGAUAUGCCACAAAGACAUAAUAGAGAGAGACACAAGCAAUCAAGCAAUCAAAAGAUACCAAUUGAAGCAAGCAAUCAACGGAUAUCAAUUGAACCAACUAGACCAAAGAUCCUAUGAGCCACAUGGAUAAAGGAUUUUAUGAUAUGAGAAGAGGAGUGUUCUAAAGAAACUAGAGAAGCUCCCCAUGAUUUGUGCACAAAUAAGAAUUUUUGUAUUUGGAUACAAAGUGCACAAAAUAGAAUCAUAGCUCCCCCGAAAUCAAUAGAAACUUACAACAAGUGCAAGUGAGCAUAUAGGAAAAAAAAGCCUAGCACUUGCAACAAACAAAUGGUUGGGCAACAUAUAAAAGAGGCAACUUAAGAAUAGGCUCAACCAAAACCGAUGUGUGUGAGUCAAGGCAAUGCACUUGAGAAGACUAAUGUACAGAUGAGCAUUAAGCAUCAAUAUAGUCUUAAAUCAAUGAGAUACAUGGUGCAAGGCAUGUCAUCCCCCCCCCCACACACAAGAGGCAAUUGGGUUCACAAGCUUACUAAAAUGCAAAUUAAGAACUAAUGCUUGUGACAACCCGUGGUGAAGAUAGAAAAUGAAAGCCUCAUCAAGACGAGGGAUACCAAUUAAGAUGGCAAAGGUCUCGUCAAGACUAGGGAUGGCAAUGGGGACAAUCCCCUAUGGGGAUACCUACAACGUCCCCAUCCCCAUCAAUUCCCUAUUAUCCCAUCCCCAUCCCCGUUUACAUGAUAGGGGAUGAAAUUUCCCCAUACCCAUGCCCCACUGGGGAACGGGGCCCCAUUAGGGUCCCCAUCCCCAUAAACAAAUACUCAUAUACAUAAUAUGAGACCCUAUGAUUACAUACAUGGUGUUGUCCUUGUCCUGCUGAUGCCUAUCUAGGCCGUAUUAACUUCUUGGUCAUGGUGGCAGCUGAGGUGAGGAUGUGAGAUAGGUUUAAGGUUUUUUAGAGCUUUUUUUUGUUUUCGCAAGUUUGUUUGUGAAUAUUUUAACGUUGACCGCAUUGUCACGCUUACUAACCGGGUCCCCGAUGGGUAUUUGGUCUGGGGAAUAGGAUAUCGUCCCCAUCCCCGUUGUACCCUAUGGGGAAUAAAUUAGUUUGGUAAAUAUCCCCAUGGGGAUGUUUUUCGCCCAUCCCACCCCCUAAUAGAUGAAAUCCCCACGGGUUUGGCUGAUAUGGGGCCCCGUUGCCAUCCCUAGUCAAGACAAGCAUGAGGAAAAAGAUCUUCACCACGAAAGACUACAUCAAGAUGCAAGGAGAUAAGACCCGCACUCAAGAUAAAUCCUUUCACAAAACCACCAAGGAAAAAGGUGGAUGUGAAGGAAUAACGAUAUCAACUAGAGAUGUAACUUUACUCAAGUGUAUAAGAUUCUAGAACGAUCAAAAUCAUGAUGAUAUCAAUCCACAGAGAAGGAUGCACACACAAAAUAGUUACAAAAAGGAAAUAACAAGAUAUCCACAAGGAAGUCAUAAACUAUACUGAUAAGAUCUUUGCUUGAAAAGUAUAUAGCACAUGGCUUAAUAUUAUCUUAUAGUAUAUAAAUGAGCUUCAAGCAAACGAACAUCAAAGACAUCACAAUCAUUGUUGAGAUGCUUUGAGAAGGGAAACAAGUAUCACAAGAUAUGAAAUGAAUAUCAUGCCAAGAUGCAACCUACACAAGGUUGAAUGCACGAGAGGAAAUCAUGAAUAGAUAUUUGUUACCUAGAUAGCAUUGUAAGGAUGUAGAAGAUACCAAUUGAAGGUAUUAGAUAGUAGUUCAUUGAACAUCCUAGCUUGACUCCAAUAAGCGCAUGGUGACAACACCUUCCUUGUGAGUGAGACGAGCAUCCAAUGCAUCUCCAAUUGUUCCUAGAACAACAUCACAAACAAAAUGGUACCCAAACUCAUUGGGACCAAAGAGUUAGAAACACCAAUACAUAGGACAAACUCCACAUAAAUAUGUGCACAUAGAUAUGAAAAUAAAUAUCAUGCACAUCUCAUCCAAUUUGAGACUUGGUGGAGUUUCCCCUAUAUAUUGUGUCAAAGAAAGAAAGCAUGCCAAAUAAAAUACAUGAAGUAAAUAUGCAUGUUCGAAACUUUCAAGGACCGAAACCAAAUGAAAAAGAAAUACCACGAGAAAAUAGGAUACCAGAUGGAUAAAUCAUCACUUGGAAGAUAUCAUUAAAAGAUACAUCAAGGAAUGAGAUAUCCAUUGAUAUACACUAAUUAAAAGAUAUCAAACUCCCAAAAGAGAGGAUGGUUCCAAACAAACCACGCUGUCUACAAAGUUUCAUGAUGGCACAAAGUACCAAAAAGCAAACGGCUUGCCUUCCACAAACACACGCUUGAUAAGGAUCACAAGAUGAGUAUUUUAUAGAAAAUAGGAUAGCUCCCCCAAGACUAGUGCAUUAUAGAGAAUUUGCAUUUGAAUACAAAAUGCACAAGGUGGGAUCACCACUCUCACUAUAUCUAGAAAACACUAGACAAGAUCAAGAAAUUAACAAGAUCCACAAGUGGUAUGGAAGACAAAGGGAGUUGACACAGAACUUGGCAAGAGAUAAGGCAAAUAAAAGCAAAAGACAACGUGAAGAUGAUUAAUAAUUUCUACCACACAUAAGUGAGUACCAAUUGUCAAAAGAAAAGAAGUAUUUGGAAAUAAUUCCCGUUGGUAGAUAACAAGGAUAUCCAACAUCAUCUUCG
This 59809-nucleotide long non-coding RNA is filed under the name Triticum aestivum (bread wheat). Lineage: Eukaryota; Viridiplantae; Streptophyta; Magnoliopsida; Poales; Poaceae. The record is from RNAcentral.